GCUUUGGCUCUGGUUUUGGUUCAGGUUUAAGCUUAGGCUCAGGCUCUGGGUGUGGCUUUGGCUCAGGCUUCGGGUGUAGCUUAGGCUCGGGUUUCGGCUCAGGCUUUGGUUCUGGGUGUGGUUUGGGCUCCGGCUUUGGUUCCGGUUUUGGUUCAGGGUGUGGCACUGGCUUUGGUUUGGGCUCCGGUUUCGGUUCUGGGUGUGGCUUAGGCUCUGGCUUCGGCUCGGGUUUGGGCCCCGGUUUUGGCUCUGGCUUUGGCUUUGGGUAUGGCUUUGGUUCUGGUUCUGGUUUUGGUUCAGGUUUAUGCUCAGGUUUUGGUUCUGGCUUUGGCUCCGGUUUGGGCUUUGGCUUCGGCUCUGGGUAUGGCUUUGGUUCUGGUUUUGGUUCAGGCUUAGGCUCAGGUUUAGGUUCUGGAUUAGGUUUUGGUUCUGGCUUUAGCUCCGGUUUCGUCUCUGGCUUCGGCUCUGGGUAUGGCUUUGGCUCCGGCUUAGGUUCUGGCUUUGGCUCCGGUUUUGAUUCAUGCUUAGGAUGAGGCUUUGGCUUUGGCUUCGGCUUCGGCUCCAGCUCUGGCGGCUUCUCGUACAUCGCACGGCCCUGCUUGCUCAUGAAGCGGGCGCCAUGGCCGAGUCCCUGGCCAGCUGCCGCCGCUUCAUCAACUAAAGCGCUCGCCACCGCCAAUGCCCCAAGCAGGAGCACGGCGGCAGUGAGGCAAGGAGAGCGCCUAGCCAUGGCUGGCAAGCUAAGCUCCUCCUCUUCGCUUAUCUUCUUCUCCCUCUCUCACUUCUGCUGUUGUACGUAACUGAACUGUGAGCUUGUGCCAGUGGAUGGAAGGAUUGCUGGGGUUUUAUAGCCCGGGAAAGCCAAACAAUGCAAGCAGGUGUGGUCACAUGUCUCCAUGGCACCCUGCUUUUGUGAUCUCUAGCUGCUUGCCAGAUCUCACCUAGUAUCAUGCCUGCCUCCCUUCCAAAUCUGACUAUUUUACUCUUCUUCACUUUUUACUAACUGCUAACCCUACUUUUUCCUAAUUAAUCAGCACCUGUUCUGAUUAAUCAAUCGGUUACUUGUUACUUUAAUGUAUGACUAGACAAUUAGUCUUUUGUUGGAACACAUGAAUUUUAUACAGCUUUGGUUAGAAACUGAAGUAGUAGUAAUUGGUACGAAAAGCAAGUAAAAUUGUUUGAGUCAUAUUCAGCAGCGGAGCCCGCACGGCAAACAAACAGGGGAAAUGGAACAAGUGCGUAAAAUAGCUUAGGCUAGGUGCAGCAGAAGCUAGCAUUGCAGGAGCAGGAGAUGGACGGACGGAUCGAUCGUCAAUGGACAUCGCCGGUGGUGGGUCGCCGGAAGGACAGCAGCCAGAAACAUUAACGUGGGUGAAAGUGUCCGGCCCUCGCGGCCAUUGGGCCUGUUCUGCGGCUGCGUCGUAGCCGACACCAACAGUGCCGUGCGCACACGACGCAGCCGUAGCCAUGCCGAACAGGCCCAUAUUAUCUUGAGAAUUGCAUCGAACUGAACACAUUAGAUUUUUUAUACACUAUAUUAACAUCGACACUGAGUAAUUUAAAUGAUAAAUAUGAUCAAUUACGGACCGAUCCAGCGUUGUUUUUGAAAAGAUGCUACCGUCCGUUUUCAGCUCUAAGACUACCCGCCAGACAGAAUCUCCCACGGCUUCUCCUCUCAAGAAAAAGAGUAUUGGUCCACAGGCCAUACCCACUCUCGGCCCAAUGUCUCUCCUUUCUCUUCUCCUCCAUGUUGGGCUUACGCGGCUGCGUGAAUGUUUGCAGGCCAUGCAUGCAAAUCAGCCGACAAAUAAAUAAAUUCAGCAUGUCAUUGGUGGUACGCUAUCUUUUCUUGAAAUAUUCCUCUUUAGGCCUCGUUUAACCCCAUAAAAAAUGAUUGAAGUAGAUUUAAGGGAUUCUACACCAUAACAGGUACGGUGCACAAUUAACCCUUUCCAAAUCUCCCUCAAUCGUCCUGAGUGGGGCACGUAGGCGUUCAAAUAAACACGUCCACACACUCACCCAUAUAUGAUAUAUAUGAACGUGUACACACCUUAUUUGCUAUAAGCACCUUUGAAAACUAGAUCAACAUAUCUUGAUAUUUAUAAAACAACCGUAAGCACGUUGUUGGUGAUGGACGCCGUCUAUUACUGAAAAAAUAAUUAGUCAUAAAUAUGUGUAACUGUGUCAAGUCUAUGACUUAAAUUUUUAGUAGACAUGUUACACCACCAUUAACCUAACCAGUUGAGUUAUUCUCAUUUCGCUGCCUAACUUAAAAGAUGGAGCCGCGCGUUGAUAAAUCCACGAUAGUACGCUAUAGAUAGCCACUCUAGUAUAUUUAUUAAUAAAUUAUGCAUGAAGUAAGCUACCCCUAAUAAUUUAAAAGAGAUAUAUAAUUAAAAUAAAUUGAGAUGAAAUAUGUGGCUUUGUUGGGUUGGAUGCACCAAAAAAUAAGUAAGAAAAAGGAAGAAAGGAGUACAACCUAGUGUUGGUAGACUCCAUUACGCGUCCAAAGCAUGCAUGUGUCUGCCAUGUUAUCAACAAAGACACACAUGACACUUGGCAGAGUUAACACGGCAUGAUGGGAUAUGUCACAUAUGGCAUCCGAUUCCAGAAGAGAAAAAAAAGAUGGUAGUGUUAGGUGACAAAGAUGGGGAAAGAACGAAUUAAUAAUUAGGAAAAACUGUAGAUGCCUUGCAGAUCGAGGAUACAGUACACAUGAUCAUCGACUUGGACUGAUGAGCAGCAGCAGCUGGUGUGCAUUUCUCUCGUGCCUCUCGUCUGUGUUUGAGAGCGAGCGACCAACAGUUAAAAAUGGAUUAAGUUAGACUGUACUGUCUCAAUUAAUUCAAAACGCGCGUUUGAUCAGUAUGGGAGAACCUUUAUCUGCUUUCCCGGUAGUAUAUAUAGCUAGGUUGCUAGUUAAAGUGAAUUUCACCAGACUUUUCUUUUUAGAUAAUAUUUCACCUGACUUUUUAGUUCUGAAAAGGUAUAUGGCUGAUCGUGCCAUCUCAGCGAAGAGAAGAAUUUUGGAAAAUGCAUAUGCCAUCGCGAUCAUCCUCAAUCUUUACUAUCAUACCCUUAUUCCGCGCUUUUCCUCGAAGGAAGUUGAGAUAUAUUAUUCACGAAAAAUAUAUACUCCUUUCAUCCUAAAAUAUAGUAACACUCAUUCAUACGUGAAUGGCAAACCUGAAGUAUUGACACCGUUGUUUGUGUGUUCCUAACCAGGAAAGUGUGGAGCUGACUUGAAGAGGACGGCACGGUAGAGGGUAGAGCCUUCUUAAUGAUGCGCCCUAUGACCAUAGUAUAUGAGAAGGCGACCGACAUAAUUAUAAUAUGUGGUAAGGAAUAAAUAGAGGACGGCAUCACAUGAACGAGUAAUAAACUAGGAAAUAACCAAGGUAGAGACGGAAGCACCCAUUGGAAGGGUGAGAGGUGAGUGGCCAAGCUAUGAGCUCAUGACACCCCAUACCUAGAGACCGGGUCUAUCAUAUUAAUCAACAGCCAACCAUUAACUCAUCGAAUCAAUCAAGUAUUUUCACUACUACGGGAAACUAAACCGGUCGGUUGAGAACCUUGCAUAGGUGCCGGUUUUCAUAACUGGUACAUAGUAGACGACACAGACGAGAGAAAUCAAAGGUGUCAGUUUUGAAAAUGGCACCUUUGAGGUCCCAAGAAUAAAAAACAAAAGAAACUCGAUGCAUCGGCUCAAAUCCCAAUCACCCAUAAGAUUUCCAUCUAAGAACAAAAUCACAGAAUUAAGAACAAAAUCAACAUUCAUGAACAAACAUCUAAGAACACAAUCACAGUAUCAAGAACAAAAUGAGCGUCCAUGAACACACACAAAGAAGAUACCAUCGUUGCUGUUGUUGUCGGGCGGGCCGCCCCUGUGCCGCUCUUCCUCCUUGUCAUGGUGGCCAGAUCCAGCUGUCGUUGAGCUCUAGGCGGCUGGAUCUGGCGGUCUCUACCUCCAAGCGAGAGAAACCACCGCCAUCCCAGCGACGGUGAGGGGAGGAGGAGUUGCAGCUCCGAAGAGGCGAGGAGAGGGGAGGAGAGGGAAGCACCAGAGCCAGAGGGGUGGCGCCCCAUAGGAGGCUAGAUGGCCGGCUGCUGAAGAGGGAGGUGAAUAGAGCGGGCAAGAGAGAGGGAGGUGAAGGGCGAGAGAGUGGAUAAGGACAUGCUCCCCCUCCCUUUGCACUAAAAAACUGGUACCAAUAGUAUUGGUGUCGACUUUUCUCUAGAACCCACACCUAUAGUUGCUUAAAAGUGUCGACUCUAUAUUUUUUUUUGGUUCCAUGAAGGUGGGAAAAGCGUCAAUUUAUGCUAGUUUUAAAUUGGGAAGAAAGUUUGAAAUACACCCUUGAUUAUUGGGUGAGUACAAAUUAACCCCCCUAAACUUGAAAAUCAGACAUCCUUGACCCUCAACUAUCAAUACCAGAUGAAUUAUCCCCUAACUCAAUUCGGCGUGAUUUUGGUUUCACGUUGUUGUCCCAUCAGCAAAUCUUUUUUUUAAAUCAGUGGGGCCCACAUAUCAAUCUCUCACCCUCUCUCUAUCCCUCACCUAUCUAUCUCUCUAUACUCUAUCUCUCUGUCUCUCUCUUUCAAAUAUCCUCUCUCUCUUCUCCCUCCCUCACCUUCAUCUCUCUUUAUCAAGGACAGCGGCGGGCGGAGCUCAGGACGGCGGACAGGACUGGCGGAAGGCGGAGCUUGGGACAAGCAGCGGCACCUCUAGCUCUCCGUCACCGAGAGGCAGCGGCAGAGGCGGAGCUCGGGACGACGGAGGGGACGGGCGGAAGGCAGAGCUUGGGACAAGCGGUGGCACCUCUAUCUAUCCAUCAUUGAGAAGCAGUGGCGGAGGGGGAGCACGGGAACAGUGGCGGGCGGAGCUCGGGGCGAGAAGAGCUCGAGACGGCGGAGGGGACGGGUGGCAGGUGAAGCUUGGGACAAGCGGCGGCACCCCCCCCAUCUCUGUCACCGAGAGGCAGCAGCGGAGGCGGAGCUCGAGACUGCCGAGGAUGGUGAGCGGCAGAGGCGGCCAUCUUUCUUUUCCCUCCCCUUCUAUCAAUUGGUUUGGACGACGAGAAACGGAGUUGGCGCUGCAUAGUGGGGCAUGUCACGCCCUGAAGUUUCCCACUUUUCUUGCUUUAAAAUUUUGUUAAAUAAAUCGCCCGAAGAAAUUGUUUAAAUUAACCUAGAGCUAAUUCCUUAAUUAAUGAAUGCAAUUAAUAAUUGGAAUUGGCAUUGUGGGAUUUUUCUUGGGUCCCACAUGUCGUAAUAUAUUAACAGGUUUUUUAGUAGAAUUCUUAGAGCCCUAUAAAUAAUUUUAACCAUUUAAAAUUCAUAAACCGCAAUAAAGUAUGACAGGAAAAUCCUUUUUUUUCUUUUCCUCCUUUUUCCCUCUUGUUGGGCCAUCGGCCCAACCUCUCCCCGCGCCGCCCUCCUUGCUGGGCCGGCCUAAGCCUCCCCCUCCUCUCUAGGACACCGACAGGUGGGGCCCACCUGUCGGUCGUCCCUAACCUCCCACCGCCCACGCCUCGGCAGCAAUCGCCGCUGCCGUCCACGCUGCUGCUCCGCGCCCCGCGCUCACGCCCACGUCGCCGCCCACCUCUUCCACCUCUCCCGCUCUCGCAUGCGCCCGAAAAUGGAUGGGAUUCGAUUUCGAAUCCCACCCCCCUCUCUCUUUCCUCCCCCACGUUACCGGCCAAAUAGGGGGCCACCCCGGCUGUUUCCGCCCCUCCCGCGCCCAUCAAAUCACUCCCCCAAGCCUCCUCUCCCGUUUCUCUCACUCGCCACGCCCUCCCAUGCUUCUUACACCGUCGCGCCGUCACACCAAGCUCCGCCGCCCGCCAACGCACUCCGGCCACGCGUCGCCGCUGCUAGCGCCAUCGCCACACCGCGCAACCACCGCCACCAGCUUUGCCAUCGCGCGAGCCACCUCGGCCGCCACUCGGUUGCCGCAAAUCGCCCCGGAGCUCCGAUUCCCUCGCGCCGCCGGUGAGCUCGCCAUUGUCUCCAUCUCCGAUUGUUUCGUCUCGCCGUGCCGCGGCUCCUCCCUUCACCCUAACCCCUUCACCGCCUUUUCCUAGGUCGCACCGCUCCCGUGCGCCGUUUUCCAAAGCGCCGCCGCCGCUCAUCCCCUCCGCUCACCACUAUCACUCGCCGUCAUCUCUCCGCACACCGGCCACCCCACGGUGAGGAAUCCCCUCUCCUCCUUCUUUUCCUCUCUCCCAUGAGCGCCGCCGCUCCUCCACGCGUGCGUCGUCGUCUUCGGCCGCCGCCGCCACCUUUUCGCGCCGUCCGCCGCCGCCUCCCGCUCCGCCGGUCGCCACCGUCAGUGGCUGUGCACCGCCACCGCUCCCCAUGGCCAGCCGGCCAGUUUUGAGGCCGAGCAGAACCAGACAGCCGCCGCCGUGCCGUCCGAUCGGCCUCGGGGCCGAUCUGGACCGUCGUUCCCGUGGACCGGCGGUGGCCACCCGCAUGGUCCUAGUCCACGGUAGACCAGCGCCCUUUGAGCCGCUGACAUGCGGGGCCCGCUUGCCGGCGCCGGACCCCCUCGCUGACGUCAGCCCUGGGUUUAUUGUGCAAUAAAAUUAAUUAAGGAUUUUUCUUUAUUAGUAAAAACACAGAUUAUCUUCUAAAAUUCAUAAGUAAUUCAUCCGAGCUCCGUUUAAGUCCAUUCAAGUCUCAGUAAAUUCAUAAAAAUCCCUAGAAUUCAUUAAAAAUGGUUUUGUUUCCUGUUUCAGUAGUCUUAUAGCAUGUUUUGCUAGUGUGCUUUGUUUGUCGCAUAGGUUUCGGUCGUUUCGUCGAUCCACGGUUCCACGAAGACGUUGCUGUGGUCUCAUCAGUGCGAGGGCAAGGCAAGUCAUGCAUUACAAUUGAUCAUAUUGUACCCAAUUUACAAAUAUCCUGCAUUUCUAUUAAAUGUUGCAUUCUUUUACAAUAUCAUGUGGGAUGGGUCCUAUUACUCAGCCAUUUUUUGUUUACACUAUGCCAUUGAUAACUUGGGUAUCAAAAUGACUAGAUGUUGGUUUAGGAAAUGCUUAGCAUUGCUUAGUUUAACUAGUGCACAAAUGGGGAUCACAUUAUUACAUAGACUUUGACUAUUAGCAUAGCUUUGGAUUGGUUCCACCGUAAUGUUGUUAGUUAAUUAAAAUACACUGAAUGGUGGGCUAUGGGUGCGUGGUUUUGCUGGUCGCACCCAUGGCAAUUAAGGACCGGUUCACGGGAAACCCUGGAAGACUUGCCAUGCUUACCACAAGUGGGAAUGGGUAACUGCUUGACUUGUAGUAUAGCUCGACCAUUUCCUAGGCACCGGUGACAAGGGUGGGCGUGAUGGAGUUGGGUCAGCUGGGGUGUCCGGUUGUCCAGCUGCUGGAUUCACCGCGGCGCAUGAGGGGACUGCCCACUGCCUGUUGAGGGUUGGGGGUGAAACCUUAGCGUGGUGUGGAUGGUUAGGGGAGGGUUAUGCGAAGGGUCUUGUCACGAUUUCCCCCUUUGCACUAUCAUGGUGAUACUUCGGGGCAUGGCGACAUGUGUGGAAUCGUGUCUUGUGGGUACAGUUGUACACCUCUGGCCAGAGUAAAACUAUUCGAAUAGCCGUGCCCGUGGUUAUGGGCGAUCAACCAGAUUCACCGUGGUUAGUCUUACCCCGAGUUUAGCUUAGUGAACUGGUGUAGUUCAGGUGGUUGGUUGGGCAUGUCGCAACGUGGUGUAGCGUUGGACAGUGAUUGGUUAAUAUGGACUAAUUACUGCAAUUGUUUUACUGCUUUCAACUACUGUUUUUAAAUGCCUGCUUUAUGAAAAUGAACCUUUAGCCUCCUUUGGAUAUAUCCUGCAUCAUACCUCCUCUUCCAGUAUGACUUGCUGAGUACAGUGGGUAGUACUCAGUCUUGCUCUCUUUUCCCACACACCAGAGCGGAAGUUCUUCCCAGUUGGAGAUGUCUCAGAAAGGUUGGUUUCAUUGCUGCCGUUAAGGAUGCCUGUGGAGUGGAGUCGCCCGCUACAGAAGUCAAGUUUUCAAGCUUAGCUCGUUUUAUCUUUUCCGCUGCAUUUGUAAUCUCUUGUAUUUUUGUAAUCCUGGAUAGAGGUUUUAAUACAUAUUCAGCUUAGAAAUUCUGAUUCGUGAAUUUCUGGGCGUGACAGGGCAUCGAGCGGCGGAGGCGGCUCCUCCUCGGCCUCUGCCGGCACACGCCUCCUCCACGACCACCUCGUGAGCUUGCUGCCACCGUCUCCUACACUCGGGGAUGCUCACAGCCAGCGGCGCACGGCUCGUCCUCGGCUUCCGUCGGCGCAUGGGGCUCCUCCUCCGGUCCGUGGCGUACAACUCAUCUGUGGCAUCUGAGAGGAGAGCGGCGAGCGGCGGAGAGAGAGAGAGGUGAGAGAGGAUAAAGAUAGAGAGAAGAGAGAUAUGACAUUUGGGCCCAUCGUUUUUUUAAUAAAAGAAUUGCUAACUGGACAACCACGUAGGACCAUAACCGCUUGCAAAGUUGCUCAGCUUGGUACUUCAUCUCAUAUUGACAGUUGAGGGUAAAAGAUAUCUGGUUCUCGGGUUUACGGGGAUAAUUCGUACUCACCCAAUAGUUUAGGGGUGCAAUUCGGAUUUUUCCCAACCGUAUCUAUGAGUCGUCUUCUAUUAAGGAUUUUGUAGCAGUGUUUAGGCAUGAGGCAUCUUAUUGUCUUGUCUUCGUGACUAGGCUCGUUGUCUUAGGUACUCAUCGGUUGCCCAUAUUCCAUAAAAAUCCAAAACAGCUUAUUAGCCAAUAAAAUUAAGUUAUUGAUAAAACUUUUAUAUAUGUAUUCUUAACGAAUUAAAAGCUAAUGCUGAAAAAACUAACUUGAAAAUAUUUUAAAAUCAACUCCAAAAUUAAAUUUAAGAAUUCAAAAUUUAACUUCGUUUUGACUUAUUAGGGUAACCAACGGGCUCUUACGUUUAUUCGACAAUUCAUUUUUGUCGUUAACUCACUCAACGCACGUGGAUGCACCACGACACUAAUUAACUAUAAUUAGUUAAUUAGCCAACAUGCAUGCGUCGUGACAUGAGCAGGCUCGGCUAAGUCUUUGCCCAGAGUGGUGUGAUGGUAUAAUCUUGGAUAUUUUUUUUACCAAGCCGUUUUAAACCCUCGAGAAUAUAUCUCCUCGUUUUUCUUAAAAAGUAUUUAAAUAUUUAUAGAAAAUUUUUGAAACAAAUUGAUAACGGUGGUGGAAGGACUGAGGGUCGUUAUGAUAGUGGAUAUGGAUGGGCAGAAAAAAAAAACCGAACCGAAAUAAUCAUAUCGAACUAACCGAGACCAAAAAAUUUGGUCUGCAUUUUCACUAACCGAAUUUAGAUCGGUUAAUUCUGUCUUUGGCGUCGGUUAACCAAAUUGAUCGAAAUAUAUCAUUGGCCAAAUAAUACAGAUGACAUCUCAGCCCACUAAGCCCAAUACCACCUCAUCCGGAGGCAACCAACUCCCUGCUGCACCACCACAAGAUCUUUUCAUCCCCAAUCCCCACCUUAUGCGCAUCUCCGAAGACUGCAAAUUCCCCCACCGUGCGGUGCUGCCAUUGACGACCUGUGACUGCGAUGUGCUGCCCCUGCUGCCGCCGCAUCUCGCCUCUCACCCCAAAACCAACAACCCCUGCCACCGCCGCCACAUCUCGGCGCCCUCUGAUGCAUGCCGGCCAGCCACACCUCGUGGAGGCCGUGCGCGGGAGCUAGAGACCUCGCCGACAUCGGCCAUGAGCAAAGAGAUGGGAGCCGCAGUAACAACAACGGCAGGAGGCGAUGGGAUGGAUGGGAUCUUGGUCCCUGGAGCCAUCUAGAACAAUUGAUGGCAGAGAUCGAUGGGGAGUAUCGAUUUGCUUCUUUUUUUUUCUUUUUCUUCAGAAUCCCAUCGAUCUGCUUUUUUUUUCUCAGAAUCGUGCUCGAUUUGCUAGUGGCAUCAAAUAGUAGUGCAUCAUCUGUGUGUUUCCUUUAAUUCAUUGAUCAUGUACAGAUUACUUGCCAUUCUUUUUUGUUGUUCGAACUUUUGUAACGGUUAGUUCGGUCUAUGACCGAGACCGAACCGAACUAACCAAAGACCGAAGUGCUCGGUCGUUAAAGACCGAAUUUUCAAAAAGACCGAGGAACCGAACCGAAUCUCUCGGUUAGACCGUGUUGUCGAAACGACAACUAUAUACGUCGAAGGAUGUGGUUACUCAACAGUGGUUGGGAAAAUGAAGUGUACUAAAUUUUGAAUUUUCCUUGGGAUCCCCCCAUUAGAUAGCCCUAGGGGACUAUUUAUAGCCCCAUUACAGGUCCUUACUACCAGGGUUUAGGUUGUACAGGAAAAUUUACAUGAUUACCCUUACAAAAGGGGCAUUUACAGGGGUACAUAAUGUUAUAGGGGCUCAUGGGCCCCUGAUGGGCCGUCUGGCGAUCGCCGGCCUGAUGGGCUGGAAAGGCUUCCUCAGCCCUCGCGGGGGCGAACUUGUCAAGGCGAAGUCAUCCUCCUUCGGCAGACAGUCUUCGCCUUGCACCCUUCGCCUGAGACGCCUCUGGCCUGGCGCUACUCUUCGCCUUGCACCGCUCUUGCUCCAUAGCCUUCGCCAUGGGUUUCGGCAGGUUUGGUCGAAGAGCCUCAUGCCAUCCGCCAACAAGCCCCUCACGGGCAAGGGUGAGACUGGAGCUUCGGCCGAGACCGUGCAAACCAUGUGGUAUGGUAUGCGGCGCCCCCUUUCGACCGAUGCUCCUGCCGAAACCUACAUUAUUCCUGCGAAUGAAGUUUGUUAUUUGUGCGGCUGGUAUUAUUUUGCCGCGCUUCGCCUCGUGCGAUUGAUGGUUAUAUAUAUUCUUUUUUCCUGGGCCGAACGGAAUAGUAUUGGGCCUUCCUAUCUUUAGGCUUUUUACUGUGCCGCUCGGUUGAUGGGAAUUUACCGUUUCGCCUACCCUUGCGACACGUGGCGCUUUAUUACUGGUGGGUAGGCGAACGGUCGCCUGGGCGGGCUAUAUAUUCCUGCUGCUCUUUCCUUUUCACCGCCACACUUGCCAUUUUACCGCGCGCGCUCUCUUUCUCCGUCUCUUCCCUUCACAGCAUCUUUCGACCCCUCAGGCGUUUUGCCGAAACUCUUUUUUCGCCACCGAAAACGCACCGUUCGCCAUGGCCCCACGUACGCCAAACCCUACUUCGGCGAAAGGGCCAGAUCCCGGCCGAGUCGAUGACGACAGCACUGCCUUUCUGGGGGUCUCUCUUGUGGACGACGUCGAGCUGGCGAAGCUGGUGAGCUCCGGAGCGUUGGUUAAGGGGCAGGCUUUUGCUCCAGGGAAAACCGUGGUGCCGAAACCUGUCGACAAUCGGACGGUGGUGUUCGCCAUAUUUUUUGAGGCAGGGCUACGGUUUCCCUGCAACGUGUUGUUGCCAGAGAUCCUUCGCCUCUUCUAGGUGGAACUUCCGCAGCUGAGCCCGUCGGCGCUUGUUCGGAUCGCCAUCUUUGACUGGGUGUGCCGGACUUCCAGGUUUGAGCCCAACGCUGAGCUCUUUGGCGCCAUAUUUUUCGCCACCGUGAACUCGAAGACGGUGAUUACCCCGGCUGGAACGAAAAAAACAGUGUUCGGGAGCGUGAACUUCAACGUUCGCCCCGAGCGGUCCGAUCUCUGGCCGGUGAACGCUGCCAUGUCGAAGUGGGACCGCCAUUGGAUGGCAAGGUGGUUCUACCACACCAUCCCCUUCGAGGCUAGUUCUGAAUCAGCGAAAGCCCUUCGAUGCCGGCGCAGGGCGAUUGCGCCGAACCGGAGACCCAAGAUCGCUGUGGACGGCGCCAUGGAGGCGCGGUUUGUUCUACUGCGGAAGGUUUGCUCCCGCCUUAGCUGCCGUGACUUGGUGGAGGAAUUUUGUAUGCUUCGUAUUUUUCCCCUCUCCCAGUCAUGGCAAGUCGCGGUUGAACAAGGCGAAGAGGUCGACGGUUUGCCGAACCUGAUACUUCCUGAGGGGGCGAACGGUAAGACUGUUCUUUUGCUAUAUAUUGUUGUGCUUUGUUAUUUCGCCUUAUUUGACUUUUGACAUAGCUUCACAUUCUACUUUUACAGUGUUGACCCUCGACCAGGCCGAAGCCGAAGCCCGCAGGAUGAUCGGCGAUGUUUCGGUCGUCGAGUAUAGUCAACUGUUAACGCGUCAAGCGGCUGGGCGGGCGAACCGGGUUUACAAUGGCGAACUGCCUCCCCGGGCGAAUCCCCAAAAGGCCGACGACGAGGCAGGGCCUUCGCGAAAGCGGAUGCGUGGACAAGUGAAGCUUGCCCCCAAGAAGCGAAGGGUUCCUGCUUCGUCUGACUCCGACGCCGACGACGAGGAUGAUGCCGAAGAACGUGACGGGGAGGAGGAAGGAGAGGAAGAGGAGGAGGUGGAGGCUGUGGCUGAUAAGGCCGCGGGUGAGGCGGUCGAAGACCGCGCCGACACCCCCGGGUACACUCCUACCCCAAGUCCUGGUCACAACGAAACCAGGGUGGAGUCGAACAGCUCCCCCCUUUGUCGGAAGGAUUUGGAAGGGGUGAAGGCCCUAGUUGCGUUCUCUUCGGGCGCGGCGGCGAAGGGAGGUCCUGUCAAAAAGGUGGCUAAAAAGAAAGGGCUCGUCGAUGUCACUCGCGUUUUUAGCGAUGACGAGUCCUCCGACGGGACUCCGACUUCGCCCGCUGGUCGCAGCGUGGAUCUUUCAGCCGCCCCCAUUCCUCCACUUGGCGCCGCUGGAGUGGACGGUAGUACCGCCGCUUAGGCUUCGGCUUCUGCGGAAAGGAUUGUGAUGGCCGCGGCGAAAGUAUUCGGCAGUCCUCCGCAUCAGCCGGUUGACUCGCCGCUGAUGGAGGCGAAGGGAAAGAGAGCGGUCGCUGAGACAUCCACUUCGGAAUAUUCGCUCCCAGUACCCCGCUUCGCCCUUGGCGACUUCGAGACGCGAGCGGACCUCCUUCCUUUUGUGGAGGGGGUAAGCAAUCUUGUACUGCCCGCCAGCGCCCUGAGCUUGUUCACCGAACUGAAUGAGUUCGACGAGGGGUGCUCUGCUAUAAAAAGCCUAGCUGUUCGGGUACGUUUCCCCCCCGAUUUUAUCUUUACUCUUCCUCUAUCUUGUUUUUACAAUUGACACUUGUUCUCUUCGCCGCUCGUAUUCUGCGCCCAGAUCCUCGCGGCUCACUGCUCAACGGAGCGAACCGUGCGAGCUCGACUUGAUGGGUUCAAAAGCCAUCUUCGGGCCAAGGAUGACGAACUAGGCCGCAAAAAUUUAGAGAUGGAGGCCCUUGCAAACACCCUUAAGGAGGCGAAGGCCGAAAACAAGCGGCUCCAAUCGAAACUAGAGAAAGGGAAGGAAGCUAGGGCCGAAGUCGAUCGCUUAAAGGCCGAACUAGAGAAAGAGAAGGCCCACACCGCCGUGCUCAUAGAUUAUUAUAACCUCACCGAGCCGAAGAUGGAGGCUCUUCGGCAGGAGGUUCGCAAGGCCAAAGCAAGCGCUGUAGAGGAGUCGCGGCGGUUUUCGCAGGAAAUGGUGAAAACCACCGAGUCCGCGCGGACAGCGUGCCAAACGCUUCGCCUUGCCCUUACUGAUAUGGGCGCGAAGGUGCGGGGUGUCCCCUCCGAAGAUGCCUCAGCCUUCGACUUCUCCGAAUGGACCUAACAGGCUGGUGGUUCGGUUUCAGACUACGCCACCGCAUACGGCGAUUGCUGUGCACGCGUGUCAGCGGCCUUUACCAUGGGCCUCCUGCAGCAGUUCGGCUACGAGCACAUCGCCGAGUUCCCCAAGUACGCGAAGGGGGAUUGGGAAAUCAGUGGGCAAGACAUUUCACCUGCACUUCGUGCGUGGCGAAAACAAUUUUGGCAGAAGGACGGCCGCUCCGCCGCUAAGGCGCGCCUUUUGGAGCAGCUGGCGAAAGCGGAGGCGGCGGACAUUUGUGAAGAGGAGGGCGCGGCGGCCGGAGGGGGUGGAGGCGAUGCCCAGGAUCACCCAGAGGUGUGAGGCCCUCCGCCCUUCUCUUAGAUUUUCAUAGUUUUCUUUUGGUGUUCGCUAGAUGUGGCGAACCAUUGUAUAUUCGGCAAACUGCCGCUAAACCUUAAAAAAGGCUUUUUUGCAUACUUGGACUGUAUGAUAAUUUUAACCACUUUUUAAUGAUCAAAGUCUUUGGCAUAUUAUUAUUUCGCUCAUUUUGCAUUAUGCCAAACCUUCCCCUUCUUUCGCCUAUUCUUACCAUGCAAGAUGUGUUUUGCCUUUUCUACACUGUCUACCAGGGGGUCUGCCGAAAAUCAUGCAUUCGACCCCCUUCUGGGAGCUGGAGAAGUCAAAACGAGAAAUUUGUGGCAUUAAAGGGUUUGCCGAAGGUGCGAUGUCCAUUUCGGCCUGUUUAUCGCGAAAUGGAAAAAAACGGUCGCAGCUAUAAAGUUUUCAAGGUUGCCAACUGGCUGCGGGCGCACCCCGGGCGAACCUUAGAAGAUUACGAUCUUGUUCAUUCAAGACGUUUGGAGGAUAUGGCUCGCUUUUGGCGAAACCAUCAGAAGACUAAACGCCAGGAAUCGAUCUUUCAGCGUCGUUACAGUUUAGUCUGUGUUUCGCCCCCUACUCCUCUUAAGGUUGUGUAUAAUAUUAGUAGUGAUGACGAACCUAAUUCGUCCGACCAUUCCUUAGGGAGGGAUAAUGAUUACUGGGGCGAAAAUGUAAUUUACUUGUAAAAUGAAUUGUAUUGGGUUGUAAACCUUGUAUUCUUCGAUUAUUUUUUCGAAGCUAAUAAAGAACGUGCUUUAUUUCCUUUUCGCUAUUUUUCGCAUCGUCACACUUUGUGCUUUUGUUAGGUCGGAACAUGCCGGCCCCUUUGCAUAUAGUAGCGAAAUAGGUGUAGUGACUUCUUUUCGUCGUUCGUUUUCGAUCUGUAGCGUUCUGUGUCGAGAGAAACGCUUUUGCUUUUAUGCUGAUCGGUCGUAACGUCGUUCGGCUAUUUAUUUUCCGAGACAAGCUGUUGCGGUUUCAACGUUCGGCGAGCAAUGCUUCGGCCGAUUCGUUUCGCCCCCCUGGUCUUUUUCGCUGAUCAGGCGUUUGUCUUGGGGUUUUUCCACAAAUUAUCAAUCACACGAAAAGAAAUAAAAAGAAGGCGGAGGACACAAAGAUUUUAUACUGGUUCGGGCCUCCAUGGUGGAUAAUAGCCCUACAUCCAGUUUUUUUUUCUUUUUCUCUUCUCUUUUUUCCUUUUUUUUUCUUGCCGAAAGGCUUAUAUAGUGCCGAAAGGCUUACAUGACAGUAUGUACAUUUUUACAAGUUGGCGAUUUGGGUGCCACCCAUUCUAGACAUAAAAGCGCUUGAGGGAGGCGGCGUUCCAGGAAUGGUCGAACUCCUCGCCUUCGAGUGUCGCUAGGCGAAAAGAUCCCGUCCUGGACUUGUGUUUGAUAAUGUAUGGUCCUUCCCACUUUGAUUCAAGCUUGCCAACCGCUAAUGGGUUCGCCUUUUUCCUUAGGACAAGAUGACCAGGCAUCAGCUCCGUGGGUCGGACUUUUUUGUUGUAAGUUGCCGAAGUGCUUGUGGCGUACUUGUGCAUGUGCUCGAGCGCUUCGACCCUUACAGCUUCCAAGAGUUCGAGCGAUACCUCGCGCCCCUCUUCGCCCCCGGAGAACAUAACCCUUGGUGAGUUAGCCCCUAGCUCCGCUGGGAUCAUUGCAUCAUCGCCAUAAAGAAGCAUAAAUGGGCUAAACUUGGUUGGUCUUAUGGGGGUCGUCCGAAGGGCCCAAAGAACCGAUAACAAUUCUUCUGGCCAUUUGCCUUUCGCCGCCCCCUCAAGUCUUUUCUUUAGUGCUUCUAAGAUCUUGCCAUUUGUACGUUCGGCCGCCCCAUUUGACUGUGGGUGCGCGACCGACGCGAACCUGAUUUCUAGGUUAAGCGCUUCGCACAUUUCUCUGAACUUAUCAGAGUCAAACUGCUUGCCGUUGUCAGUAAUGAACUCUUUUGGCACCCCGAAAUGGCAAAUAAUAUUUUUCCAUACAAACUUCUGUACUGCUGCCGAAGUGAUUGCCCCAAGGGGUUCGGCUUCGAUCCAUCGAGAGAAAUAUUCCACAGCUACAAUUACGAAUUUAUACCCGUUUCGCGCCACCGGGAAUGGCCCAAUAAUGUCCAGUCCCCAUCUGGCGAAGGGCCAUAUUGGUGCAAUGGGCUGCAGAUCAUACUGGGGCGCGGCUUGGCUUCGGCCAUGACGCUGGCAACUUUCGCACUUCUUGAUUUGCUCAACACAGACUUUCAUCACAGUGGGCCAAUAAAGUCCUUGUCUAAAUACUUUGGAGGCCAUUGUUCUUGCAGCCUGGUGCGCGCCACAUAGCCCUUGGUGUAUUUCCUUUGCCAUUUCUUCGCCUUCGGCAAAAGAGAUGCAACAAACUAAGGGUUGAAGUACCCCGGAGCGGUAAAGCUGACCCGAGACCAUCUUAUACUUCGUGGCUCUGAGUUGCAAACGCUUCGCUUCUGCUUCGUCUACCGGAAGCCAGCCAGUUUCAAGGUGUUUCACAAAUGGGGUUCGCCAGUCAUAUGAGUCUUCGCCCAGUUUCUCUUGGUCGAUUGUCAUGACUUCCGAGCUGUCCAUGGGCACACUUGGAGCAUGUAGGACUUCGAAAAAGAUGCCAAGCGAAUGCGGGCCACCACAAGCAGCGGAUUUCACCAAGGCGUCUGCUUCAUCGUUUUGGUCUCUAGGCAAGUGUUCGACCGUUAUGCCGGUGAAGCAUUUUUCCAUGGACCGAACAGCCUCCAGAUACCUCUUCAUUCCCUUUUCUUUUGCCUCGAAGGAUUUGUCAACAUGGCCUGCUACCAACUUGGAGUCAGUUCGAAUUAGCAGGCGCCGGACUCCCAGUGCUUUCGCCUUUCUUAGGCCCAGGAGAACGGCUUCAUAUUCUGCUGCAUUGUUGGUUGUGUUGAACUGUAAUCUCGCUGCGUACCGAAUCGGCACACCAUUCGGCAAAAAGAGGACUGCCGCAACGCCUGCCCCCUUGUGCGACCACGAACCGUCAGAGCACAUCACCCAGAACUGGUCAUCGGGCUCGGGCUCGGGGGCAAGUACUGGUGUCCAUUCAGCUACGAAGUCAGCUAGCACUUGAGACUUGAUAGCAGAGCGUGCAACAAAAUGCAAGUCGAACGGGGAUAGCUCUGCCGCCCACUUGCUGAGCCGGCCAGUGACUUCCUUGCCUCGGAGUAUUUCGCCCAAGGGGUACUGUGAUGGGACUAUGCUUUGUGGGCCUGGAAGUAGUGCUUAAGCUUGCGCGAAGCCAUUACUAGAGCGUAAGCAAGCUUUUCCAUUUCAAUGUACCUUGUCUUCGCUCCUUGCAGUGCUUCGGAGACGAAGUAGACCGGUUUCUGUCCGGACUCUGUUUCUUGGACGAGUGCAGCACUGACUGCCACCGGUGAAGCUGCCAAGUAUAACAGCAGUUCGCUUCCUGGGGGUGGGCUUAUCAGAGCUGGCGGGCUUUGCAAGUAUUGCUUUAGCUCGUCGAAUGCUGCUUGGCACUCUGGUGUCCAAUUAAACUUUCCCGCGCCCCGGAGGGUCUUGAAGAAGGGCAAACCUCUUUCGGCCGCCUUUGAGAGGAAUCGACUGAGUGCUGCAAUUCGGCCUGUAAGCUUUUGUACUUCAUGUACGCUUGACGGAGGCUUCAUUUGCUGGAUGGCAUCGAUUUUCUCGGGAUUCGCCUCGAUGCCCCUUUCGGAAACAAGGAAACCCAACAACUUGCCUGCGCGGACGCCAAAAACGCACUUCACCGGAUUCAGCUUUAUGCCUGCCGCGCGCAAGCUGUCGAACGUCUCUUGCAGGUCGAACGCAUGGUCGAAAGCCUUGCGGCUUUUUACGACGAUGUUGUCGACGUAAGCUUGUACGUUUCGCCCAAGCUGCUUGCCAAGGACCUUGUACACCAGCCUGGCGAAGGUUCCUCCUGCGUUCCUUAAGCCGAAAGGCAUCCUGAGGUGACAAAAUGUGCCGAAUGGAGUGAUGAAGGAUGUUUUGGGGAUGUCGAGCGGGUUCAUGUGGAUCUGGUGGUAACCGGAAUAUGCAUCCAGGAAACUCAUGAGCUCGUGUCCAGCUGUUGAAUCCACGAGCUGGUCGAUUCGCGGCAAGGGGAAAUCGUCUUUCGGACAUGCCUUGUUCAGGUCUGUGAAAUCGACACACAUGCGCCAUUUGCCAUUUGACUUCCGCACCAGCACUGGAUUCGCCAACCACUCCGGAUGGUCAAUCUCUUGAAUAACCCCCGCCCAGAGUAAUUUUUGUACUUCGGUCUUCGCCGCUUCUUGGUGAUCGGCAAACAUCUUGCGCAACUUUUUCUUUCUUGGCUUAAUAUUUGGCUUGACUGCUAAGUGAUGCAUGAUGAGAUCCGCCGGGACGCCCCCCACCUCGUUAGGGCUCCAGGCGAAGAUAUCGAUGUUCUUUUUGAGCACCUCUAGCAUGCUCUCAACUUCUUCUUCGCCUAUGUGGCCCCCCCAGUGAUACGAGCUUUGUGGGGUCGGCAUCGUCAAUCUGCACUUUUGUUAUCUUGCCGUGAGGGGUGGGCUUCGGCGUGUGCUUGGGCCGCUCAUGCGGUUCGGUCUCAACAUUGUGCACUGCUCUGUUGAUUAUGGCUAGAUCGCGUUUUGAAGCGGCCGAAGGCUGAAGCCCCUUGACUACUAUCACCCCUGUUGGGCCAGGCAUCUUGAGCUUGAGAUAAUUAUGGUGGGAAAUGGCUUCGAACUUGUUCAGGGUUGCACGGCCGAAGAUGGCGUUGUAGUUGUAUGGGAUGUCGACGACGUCGAACAGUAUUUGCUCUUCGCGCCUGUUUUCUCCUAAGCCGAAAGCUAUCAGCAAAAGUGCUUGGCCAAGAACUUGCACUGCCUCUCCGCCGAACCCCCGGAGCGACGUUGGUGCCGGUGCAAGAGCUUGGGUUGGCAAGCCCAUCUUAGCAUAUGCUUCGGCGAAGAUCACGUCGGCCGAACUCCCCCUAUCGACCAGGAUUCGUCGGACUUCAAAACCGGCUAUCUCAGCUGAGAUUACCAGUGGAUCUUGAUGCGGGAAUAGGACUCCUUCGUCGUCUUCUGGCCCAAAAGAGAUCAGCUGGUUCACGUACUGUGGCGCCCCCUCACCCGCCGAAGUGAUGUUGUGGACCAUACGGAUCUGCAUCUUCCUCCGCCGUUUCGACAACAGGCUUGGCGGAUCAGCUCUUGUAAUCACUUGGAUUACCCUUCGUUGUGUAUCUUGGCGUUGUUCGGCUGGGGGUAUUUGCUCCUGAACUGCUUCACGGGGUGCUUCGACAGUUGUUCCUUGCUGCGGCCUUGGGUCUUGCGCGUUGCCACGUUGCCUAAUGUUUCGGCAUUGCUCCGUGGUGUGCGAAGAGCAUUCGUGAAAAGCGCAGUAGAGGUCUUUUCGGACCUUCUUGCGGGCUGGCUGCUGAUGGUUGCUUGCUUGCUGGGCGUCGAACUCCUUGCGUAGGGCUUGCACUUCUUCGACAGCCAUCACAGCCUUGCCCGCCCGAUCUGUUCUGAACUUUCUCCAAGUCAUGGGGGCUUGGCCUUGCCUUGGCGGCUGUCCCUGGAUCGCCGGCUAAGACUGGCGAACAGAGAAGGGAGGUGGAUCGGCAAUUUGAACUUGUGCUUGAGCUUGAGCAGCGGCGACGGAGGCUUUAUCGUACUCAGCUUGUAUAGCUUGCCGUCGCUUAGAAUCCUCCUCGCCCCUUGCGAACCCGUCAAUGAUGCGAAGUAGGUGCUCGAGCGUCUGCGGCUCCUUGUUGGCGAUUUUUCUUGUUAGUUCGCCCUCAAGCAGACCGGCCGAAGCGGCGUUUAUAACCGACGCCUCGGUUAUGUCUUGAACUUGGCACCGGGCUUGCGAGAAGCGACGCAUGUACUCCCUUAUCGACUCUCCCGGCCUUUGGCGAAUGCCAAGAAGGUGUUGCUGCGUCUUCGGCUCCUCAUAGGUGCCUCAAAAGUUAAGGACAAAAACAUCGCGCAAUUGCUCCCAUGAGUAAAUGCUAUUGGCUGGUAAAUUGAAAUACCAAGAACGGGCGAUGCCGUCUAGAGCGAGAUGUAUUACCUUCGCCUUGGUAUUUUCGUCACCAUGAGCCGCUUCGAUCGCUGACUCGUAGAUGGAGAGGAACUCCUUCGGGUCAGUUUCGCCCGAAUAAUGUGGGACAGGUGGGAACUUGAACUGGGGCGGGAUUGGACGAGUCUUGAUUCCCCCACUCAGCGGCAGCCCCUUUUCGCCUCCCGCCCUGUUUACCGCACCUUGCUGCGGGUACGGUAUGGCAAAGGGCGAAAUCACGGCUUGUGCGUGGAGUUGGGCCGCGGCAUUCGACUACCCGGCUCCAACUGGUGGUACUUGCUGGGCCACCAUGGAUGGGUCAAAGAUUGGCUGCGACGACAUCAUGGCAGCUUGGAUUGGUGCUUGGUUUGUUCCGAAGCCUAGGGUUGGAACUUGCUGCCGAACGGUUGUCACCUGAGCAGUGUUGCCGAAGUCGAACUACUGUCCUUUACUCCACGGCGAAGGUCCCGAGCUUGGCUGAAUCGGUGGCAACCAAUUAGGUGCACCUUGACUUGUAUUCCCCACCGGGUGAGCCGAUGGGGUUGUACUUGAAAUGUAGUGGGGUUGGUUGAGUUGCUGAAGGAAAGCUUAGAGUUGCGCCUGCAGAGUCGAAGCCCCUUCCGUCACUGUUUGUGUCACUUGGCCAGGUGGUUGAUGCUGCUCGGCGAAGUACACCGGCGGCUGUGCGGCUAGUGGUGGAGAGGGCUGGGUCACCACUUGCGGCCGGACUUGAGGUGGGGCAUAGCCUGCCGAAUACUGAAGGAUUGGAGCCGACGUUGCCUUGGUCCGCCUUGUCGCCUCGUAUGCUUGUUGUUGUUCUUACAUUUGGCAAAGCAUGUCUUGGAGCCGUGUCAUGUUCUGCCGCAUGGCUUCCAUGUCGGCUUCGGCUUGCACUUCGGGGUCCAGGCUGAUUUGGGCCUGUACAACGGCGAGCGCAAUCGGCGCCGCCGGCUGUGAUGGGGCGGCUUGAGGCACCACCAGUUGGUUUGUCGAAAGGUUCCCCGCCCUGGUCUGGAGUGCCCUUGCCGCCGCAGCCGCCUUCGCCACAUCGGCCGUGUUCGGCACUUGCACUGAGGUUGCGGGGGCCGAAGACAGUUGUGAUGGCGCGGGGGCCGAAGGCGGCUGUGAUGGCGCUUGUCCUUCUCCAUCUUCGGCCACGGACGCCGAAGGCUCUGCUCCUUCCUCGGCGGCCAUGUCUGGUCCGUCGUCGCUCUCCUUCCGCCUGACGGCCUUCUCCUUCACGACCCUCUUCGGUGGCACUCGCUCUCAGUGGUUUCGCUCGGAGUCCCCAUGGACGGCGCCAGCUGUUGUCGAAACGACAACUGCAUACGUCGAAGGACGUGGUUACUCAACAGCGGUUGGGAAAAUGAAGUGUACUAAAUUUUGAAUUUUCCUUGGGAUCCCCCCAUUACAUGGCCCUAGGGGACUAUUUAUAGCCCCAUUACAGGUCCUUACUACCAGGGUUUAGGUUAUACAGGGGAAUUUACAUGAUUACCCUUACAAAAGAGGCAUUUACAGGGGUACAUAAUGUUAUAGGUGCUCAUGGGCCCCUGAUGGGCCGUCUGGCGAUCGCCGGCCUGAUGGGCCGGAAAGGCUUCCUCGGCCCUCGCGGGGGCGAACUUAUCAAGGCGAAGUCAUCCUCCUUCGGCAGACAGUCUUCGCCUUGCACCCUUCGCCUGAGACGCCUCUGGCCUGGCGCUACUCUUCGCCUUGCGCCGCUCUUGCUCCAUAGCCUUCGCCAUAGGUUUCGGCAGGUUUGGUCGAAGAGCCUCAUGCCAUCCGCCAACAGACCGAAUGCCCACCCCUAAUGGUGGAGGAUGAGCAAAUGGUGGAUUAAAGUACAGUUUAACAACGUUCUAAAAUUAUCUCAGCUCAUGGGAUAAGAAAGUAAUGUUGGUUGGUUUUAUCGGCUAAUACCGGUUAGCUAGGGAAGGGGUAAAAUCCUACCAGAUUUCCUUUCCUAACAGGAAAGAAACGAAACAAUAAACGAAGGGACAAGAGAUAAACGUUACCGUGAUUGGUGAUAACAAAUUUUGAGUCUUAUCCGGAUCGACCCCGAGUCUCACCAGUGCAAAUAAAAAGAAAUGAAGGCAUUGAGGAGAGGUGACGACUAAUUCUCUACGUGUAAAUUCUGAAGCCCUAAAAAAGAGCCCGAUUGAUCUCAAACAGUGGAAAGGGUUUAUAGUGCAAACCACUCCUGUGCAGGUGAAUCAAGAAGGACAACAGAAGAAUCAAAAGAAAUUAGCAAAACUUCAAUUCAUCUGGUCAGUAAUUAUCUCAAUUCCGUAUUUAGAAUUGAUGAUCAUGUCUUAAGCUAAAAAAUAGAUCUUGAGUAAAUAAUUUCAACAAGUAAACGCCACCAUUAAUGAUACCUCUAUUUUCUAAAAAAAAAACCCAUUAAUGAUACCUCUUGCUGCUCUGCCAUCGCAUUGGUCGCCUAAUUACGGUUGCUUAAUUUCAUCCAAAUCCGAUCCAUCGCUCUCGAUCGAUGCUGCCUGCUGAAGAUCAUAGCUUGGGAUUUGGGAAUUGAAGUUGGGGCCUACAUAUGGUCAUAUGCCCAUCCACGUACAGUUGCAAACAUGCUCCUCUGAUUUCCUGCCGGGUCCGUGUCACGCGUCUACAGGACAAGCUUGUGUUGUGUGUGGAGUACACAAGGACGUACAAGAUGCUGUUUAUCAUUGUACGGAACGGAGGUUUAUGGCAGGUAAACGUCGCGUGAGUGACAGGACAUGGAGCUAAUUCCUGACGUUAACAGAGUUGAUUACUAUACUACUUCAUUUUACUUUAACUGUUUUAAAAUAUAAGGCUCGUAAGUUUUUUAAGGUAGCUUUAACAUAAAGUUUUGAAUAUUAAUAUAUUUCUUUUACUAUCAACGGCUAUAUAAAUUUGGUAUCAUAUGAAAAAUACAUUUAAAUGAAUGUAAUAAUGUCACAUGGUGCAAAACAUAUAAAUUAUUUUUAUAAUACAGCAAAUGCACAUGUACACACAACACCACCCUCGCACACCCUCGUGAACCCAUCUUUUAACACACGGUUAAAGAGACAGAAACCAACCAUACAUUCUUAAUUUCACUAAAUUUCUAUUAAAACAGUGUAUUCUUGAUUUCAUAAAAUUCUUAUAAUCACCCGUGCUCCCUAAUACAUAUAAAUUAUUAGUUCAAUUAUUAAUUAAAGUUUGUAAAUUUUGAUUUUUUUUAAUAAAAAAACAUGUGGAUGUCUUUUGCGGUGGGACUAGAGUAGUACAGUAGUGCUCCUUCGGCUCCUGAAUGGUCAUUUCUUUUUUUUGACUCUUGUGAAUACUCUCUGCUGCAUUAGCCUGCUGUAUGAUUAUCUCCUCUGCAGUCUGCAGUGUGCACCAAUGGCGAGCUGGUCAGUCAUUUACAACAUUGGCUGGGUGUUUCCCUUCAAACUUCAAAUUUUUCCGUUAUUUAAAAUUUUUUUGAAAAAAUUUAAAAACAUAAGUCACGAGUAAAGUACUAUUCAUGUUUUAUCAUAUCAUAACAAACAAAAAAUAUUAAUUAUAAAAAAAUUUUAAAUAAGACGGAUGAUUAAAAUUGGACGUGAAAACUUAUGGUUAGACUGAAAUGGGACAGAGGGAGUACUAGCAGGAGACAGUGGCAACGAUGUGUUUACCAAUGGGGAAAUUAUGGUACCCCGCACUUUGUCGGUGUAUUCUACUAGUAACUAAUAGUAGAAUAGUAAAAUCAACAAAAAUCAAUGCAGGUCAUGAGUUAAACCGUGAACCUGCAGAGGGCAGACUGGAACAAACCAGGUACAGAUUGGAUUACCCAUGAUGCUUAUUUUACGUACUAAUGCCUCCCUCUCAAAAAUAAAUUCAUUUUCUAUCGAUCCAACGUAUAUCAAUAUAAAACCAAAAUAACUAGAAAAUCCCCACUUUAUCAAAUCCAAAUUUAAUUAUGUUUCUUUAUCUACCCUGAUACAUUUAUCAUAUACUUUUACAAACUCUGAUGUACUGAUUGCUUGAAAAAAGAUAUUAUUUUGAGAUAAAUGGGAGGGACCAAAGACUUAUGUAGAGAUGGAGGGAGGAGAAGAGAGCCCGUACCAUUUUCACUGUAUUUAUGAAGGGCGCUAAUUCAAAAUGUAAUAUUUAGGAUAAACAGUUUUGAUAUUUUAGUGUUGGAUAGUACUCUCUCCGUUUUACAAUGUAAGUCAUUCUACCAUUUCCCACAUUCAUAUUAAUGUUAAUGAAUCUACACAUAUAUAAUCUAGAAGAAACUCAACAGGAGCAGUAUUAAACAGAACUGGACAGCAUAGAAGAUGCACACACAUAUAUAUUAUUAUUUAUAUACACUACUAAGUAGAAAAGAAUGCCACAGACACGGUAAUAAAAAUGGCAGUAGAUACAUAAGAAAUAAUUUAAUUACACUAGCUAGCAGUGGCACAUCUGAAAAAACAACGUGAAAUAAAAGGGAAAAAAAGCAAGCAGAAAGCUAGCUCAUCACUUUAUUCCAGAAACGGUACAGUGUAGUGACUCGCUCGCUCCUCCCUCUGGCGAAAUAAUGUCGUCAAUGCCUCAAUCGUGCAGCAGCAAGUGCUCGGUCUCCGGUGAUCGCCGUCACUGGUCGGUCGCUGGCGGUAUGUGCGGCGGCUUGUGCUUCUUCGGAGGUGCUUCAGGUUUUGGCUCAGGCUUAGGCUUAGGUUUCGGUUCAGGCUUUGGCUCUGGGUAUGGUUUAGGCUCCGGUUUUGGUUCGGGCUUAGGCUCUGGUUUAGGUUCAGGCUUCGGCUCUGGUUUUGGCUCCGGCUGUGGCUUGGGCUCUGGCUUUGGUUCUGGGUGUGGUUUGGGUUCUGGUUUGGGAUCCGGUUUAGGCUCUGGAUAUGGUUUGGGCUCUGGUUUUGGUUCAGGCUUUGGCUCAGGCUUCGGUUCAGGCUCUGGUUUUGGCUCUGGUUUUGGUUCAGGUUUUGGCUCUGGCUUUGGUUCUGGCUUGGGCUCAGGCUUAGGCUCAGGCUUAGGGUGUGGCUUGGGCUCAGGCUUUGGCUUUGGCUCUGGCUUUGGCUCUGGUUUUGGUUCAGGUUUUGGCUCCGGCUUUGGUUCUGGCUUUGGCUCAGGCUUAGGCUCAGGCUUUGGUUCAGGCUUAGGCUUAGGCUCAGGGUAUGGCUUGGGCUCAGGCUUUGGCUUUGGCUCUGGCUUUGGCUUUGGUUUUGGUUCAGGUUUUGGCUCCGGCUUUGGUUCUGGCUUUGGCUCAGGCUUAGGCUCAGGCUUUGGUUCAGGCUCAGGGUGUGGCUUGGGCUCAGGCUUAGGUUCAGGCUUAGGCUCAGGCUCUGGGUGUGGCUUAGGCUCAGGUUUCGGAUCAGGCUUUGGUUCUGGGUGUGGUUUGGGCUCUGGCUUUGGUUUGGGCUCCGGUUUUGGUUCCGGCUUCGGUUCCGGUUUUGGCUCUGGCUUCGGCUCUGGGUACGGCUUUGGUUCUGGUUUUGGUUCUGGCUUAGGCUCAGGUUUAGGCUCCGGCUCAGGUUUUGGCUCUGGCUUCGGCUCCGGUUUUGGCUCUGGGUAUGGUUUAGGUUCAGGCUUAGGCUCAGGUUUUGGUUCUGGCUUUGGUUCCGGUUUAGGCUCAGGCUCAGGUACUGGUUUUGGCUCCGGCUCUGGCUUGGGCUCAGGUUUUGGCGUGGGUUUAGGAUGAGGCUUUGGCUUUGGCUUCGGCUCCGGCUCCGGCAGCUUCUCGUAUGUCACACGACCCUGCUUGCUCAUGAAGCGGGCGCCAUGGCCGAGCCCCCGGCCAGCAGCCGCCGCUUCAUCAAUGAAGGCGCUCGCCACCGCCAACGCCCCAAGCAGGAGCAUGGCGACGGCGAGGCAAGGAGAGCGCCUCGCCAUGGCUGGCUAGCUAAGCUCCUCCUCUUCCCUUGUCUUCUUCUCCCUCUCUCACUUCUGCUGUUGUACGUGGUAGAACUGAACUGUGAGCUUCUGUGAUCUUGUGCCAAUGGAUGGAAGGGUGGCUGGGGUUUUAUAGCCCGGGAAAGCCAGGCAUCUGUGGUCACGUGUCUCCAUGGCCCCCAGCUUUUGUGGUCUCGAGCUGCUUGCCAGCUCUCACCCAGUAUCCUGCCUGGCUGCUUCCCCUUUCCAAAUCUGACUUUUUUUUUUUACCCUUCUUCACUUUUUACCAACUGCUAACCCUACUUUUUGCUAAUUAAUCAACACCUGUGCUGAUUAAUCAAUCGAUUAUACUUUGCUAUACUUCAAUGUGUGACUGGGCAACUAGAGCUUUCUUGGAAGUUGGAAAAACAUGAAUAUUUCAGACAACUUUUGUUAGAAACGGAAAUACCAGUAGUAGAAGUAAUUCGUACGAAAACCAAGAGUAAAAUUCUUGAGCCAUCAUGGCAAUGGCGAUUGGCGGAGCCCGCAAGGCAAACAGUGUAAAUAGAUGCAGCAGAAGCUAAGCAUUGCAAUUUGCAAGAGCAGGAGAUGAAUGGCAGCAAUGGCGACUGAACAGCAAGAAGGGGACAGCAGCCAGAAACACACAUUAACGUGGGUGAAAGCGUCCCAUAUUCCCUUGAAAAUUGCAUCCAACUCAACACAUUACUAGAUUACCCGCGUUUCACGUUGCAUUCGAUCUCUCUGUCUCUGCUACAACGUCGCUCUCUCGCCGAUCUCUCAAUAUACACGGGGUAGCUAGCUAGGAGCUAACCGGCUGCUGUGUUCAGACCGGCCACUGUGUUUAAUUGCCGUGAUGCUUCAACGAAGUUGACGAAACUGGCACGGGGUUGGAAGGAUUUGAAAGCUAAAUUUGUGGUAGAUUUGUAAGACAGAUGGGUAGAUAGAUAGAUUAUGAUCGCUAUCGAUCUGCGAGGUCGAGUAAACUGAACUUAAUUUGCUGAUUUUUCAAUUCUUUGACGCCCUCGGCUCUGCGACGACAGAUAAUUCAAGGUCCCGUACGUCAAGCUAUUUUACUGGUUUCUAGUUUCUAGAAAUAUUACUGGUCCUGGUCUGUUGAAAACUUGAAGUACACGUACAUAUCAACAUAUGUACACGGUACACCUGUAUUGCUGAUGAUUUUGUUGCUGUAUGUGCCGACCUUCUGGAAUACUACCUUCAUUUAUUGAAUUAACCAACGGUCAUACUUCCUCCGUUUCACAAUUCCAUAUACAUAUUGAUGUUAAUGAAUCUAGAUAUAUAUAUAUAUCUAUCUAGAUUCAUUAAUAUCAAUAUGAAUGUGGGAAAUGCUAGAAUAAUUUACAUUGUGAAAUGGAGGGAGUAUAUUAUUGAUAAGGGUAAUAUGGAUUUUACCUUGAGAGCAUGUACACGUAAGGGCGAACAUCUACACAACGUCCAAUGUACGAGUUUGGUCGUCAUUAAAACUAGCAAGGUAACUAGCCUGUGUAUUUACGCGGGUAUGUAUCGUAGUUUGUAUUUGAAAGACUUGUAAGUACUAUUUCUCCACAAAUUUUCUUCAUGCACACUGCUUAAAUAAGUUUUUCAAACUAUUAGUUUGCUCUAAACUAUAAUCGUCUUCAUUACCUAGAAAGAAGGUAGACUUAGAUUAUUUAGAGAACAUGUCAAUUAAGUGUAAAUUAAAAGUAAGAUAUUUUUUAAUUAAAUGUUUAGGUGCUCUCUUUUUUAACAAUUUAAAAAACUAUUAUUUCUAAUAAAUGUGUUUUAUUUGUACAUGCAAGCCUGCCUUCUAAUUGGUUCAUAUUGACGGUUACAUAUGAAUUACUAAAUAUAGAGGAUAUAUCCUAGACCUUGUUUUCCUAUGAUAUGCAUGAUCUACGGUGUGUGUGCGUUUUCAAAAAAAAAAAGCUAGUCAGCAUGAGUUCUGUAAUUAAAAUUUAGGAGUAACAAAUAUAACAUUAAGCCCACUAUAUAAUGCUACCUUAAUGUAGCUUAUAUAUGCAAUAAUGUGUGGAGAAACUCAUAAUUCCACGGUACAGGAUAAGUGGAAGUCCGUAUCAUAUCUAAGCAUUAUUUAAAAAUGGUUAUGGCAAUUAAAAGCCAAUGGUUGUUCCAAUUUAAGUCAAAAGUAAGAAUCAUUUCUUACGAAUUUAAUAGAUUUUUCUCCGAAUGGCUCAAGCUAGUCCCUAUUGCCAGAUUGUAAUUUAUGUUUUAUUUUAUACAAAUUUUAAGUUCAAAAUAUAGGCAUUACGAAACUUAAAUUGUUGGUUUAUUUAUGAAUAGAGCAACAAUUCGAUUAAAAAUCAGAUGUGCAGCUUAAAAUCAUGGUCGUUUUAAUGUUAUUGAUUGUUUCUCUUUUAGUUUGAUAAGUACAUAGAGGGGGAGAAGAAUGGAUGGUGGAGAGCCUAAGUCGAGAGGAGAGGAGAGGAGAGGAGAGGGGGUGGGCAGUGCUGUGUGUAUUCGAGGGGAAGGGCAAGGUAGAGGGGAAAUUGUUUUUCUCAUUUUACUAAAUGGUUUAAGUGAAAACCGAUGAUAAUAUGGUUUUUUUCACAAAAUUUCAAAGACUUUUUAUAAUUUUUAUGACGUGACAUAUGGCAACAAAAGAUUUUUCUAAAAGUAUACCUAAUGGUUAGAAAUAAUUGAUCUAUCGAUUUGAUUAGAAACCAAUAGUCACAUGUUAAUUUCCUCAUAAUUUCUGAGAGAUUUUAUAAUUUUUUAGACGCAACACAUGGUGACUUAGAGAGUUAUAGAGGAUGUAGAUUGAUUUAAUAUGAUGUACUAUUUAUUGUCAAUUUUUUUAUAGUGAUUCAUUGCUGUUGUUAUUUGGUCGCCACACAACGAAUAGAACUUGAUGUUCCAAAAACAUAUGUAAAUUUUUAUUCAAUACAAUUUGAGCAAUAUUCAUCUUGAAAUUUUUAUUUAAUUAUAAAACAACAGUUCAAAACAAACUAAAAAUUGAAUAUAACUUAAGAACUAUUAUCAUUUAGCAUUGCAUUCAUUGAUUAUUUUUAUAUUAACAUGUUAGUUAAAAAGUAGGAGAGGAAGGGAUAUCCUGAUGGGAGAGGCCACAUGCGCAUAUAAUGGAGGAUGGGGAACAUACAAUAGUGGUAUGGAACGAGUGAGGAUGAGAGUUUGUUUUCUUUAAGAAUACAAUGGUUAGUAAGAUCUAAUGUUAUAAAAUAAUACGUCCAUCACAUUAGGUGAAAUUUGCUAAAAUUCUAUUACAAUUAUAUAUGUUUUGUGCUUUUGUACAAACUGAUUGUGUUUUAGUUCCUAUUAAUUACUUUACUAACUGAAAUUAGCAUUAACAACUCUAUUGAUUGAUUAAGAUCUAUCCUUUUUUUUUUACUUCUGUGUUCCUACAAUAUAUUCAGUGUAGAUAUUAAAAAUAUGAGGACACAAAAGUAUAAACGUAGUUUUCAUGAAAAAUCUGAUAAUAUUAUUGUGACUUAUCAUAAUUUAAGAAUGGGGAGAGCAAUUUUUAAGAACAACAAUCACAGUUUUGCUUAUUUUAAUGUUAUAUAGUUGUAGAUAUAAUUUAAUUAUUAUGAAGUUAUGUACGAUAGUAAAUUCUACAUUAUUAGUUUUUUCAUAUGUUUUUUAAUAGCAUGAAAAAUAAAAAAAACCCAAAAAUGACAUAUUCCUUUUGACGGUUGAAAUAGGGUAAAUAUGGGUCUUUAAAUGUAAGUUUGUUUUCAUAAUUUUUUUAAUGGCAUGUAAAAUAAAAGAGUAAAUUGCACCCACAAUGCAACAACUUGGCAGGUGGGUGCGAUAUAGUGCAAGAAAUUGAGAAUUGAACGUCUGAGUACAACAACUUGACAAGUGGGUGUGUUCUAAUACAAGAAUAUAAUAAUUUAUUAUUUUGGUGUAUCAACUUGGCUAAGCAUAUGCUAGGUGAGUUUUUUUUAAUCAUAUGGAUAUUACCUUAUAAUAUUGAAUUUAAUUUUUAAGAAUUAUACAGCACAUAAUAGUAUAAUUUACAUCCAAUUACCAUUAAGAAUUUUUUGUUGUCUUCACCUUCUCAAAUAUCAACCGAAAUAUAAUAAUUUUUAUAUCCAAUUUAAUUGGCUUUCAGUUAUUAGUUAUUAGGAUAAAAAUAUAAAUAUACUUUUACAAAUAUGUGCUAGUAUAUUGUCAAAAUUAGUACUUAAAAAUUGAAUUUAUAUAAAAAAUACUCCGAAUAAUUAAGUUGCCGCAUAACCUUUUAAUUUAUUGUAUCAAAAUCAUACCUACCUUGCAAAUUAUUGCAUUUAUACGAUCACUGAUAAAGUUCUUAUACUAAAUUGCACCUACAUGCCAAGUUGUUGCACUAGAACACUCAUUUCUCAAGUUAUUGCAUCAAAUUGUACCCACAUGUCAAGUUGAUGCAUCGUGAAUGCAAUUUACUCAAAAUAAAAACUAUAAACCAAAGUGACAUAUUUAUUUAAAAGUUAAAAUAUAGUAAAUAUAUAUAGGUCUUUAAAUGUAAAUUUUGUCAUAAAUAAUCUAUCAAAAUAUGAGUUACCUUUAUGAUUUACAUGUUAUAGCUAUUUAAUUUUUUUAUUAGAAAUCAUGUUUCCUAAUUAAUGUAGCAUCAAUAUAGGGGAGAGAAACAGAAAGAUGGGCGAGGUGUGUAUGUCCAUUACAUAUUCAUCCACACACGGGUCGGCCGGGGUUGGGCCGUGGGGGUUAGGAGGUGGCUAUUUAUUUUUCUAAUCAAACAUAAUUUAAAUGGUUAAAAGUAAUGGGUCCAUCAAAUUAAAUGAAAGCUAAUGGUUUAGAUUAUUUUUAAGAAGUUCUCUAAUUUAUUAGAGUGUCAUGUGGCAUAUUGGAAACGUUUACGGGGGUGUCACGUGACGUCUUAGGAGGUUUUAUAGGAUGUUUGAUGAAUUUUUACUAUAUAAUAGAUAGAUAGAUUCAUAGGUACAAUGAAAAUUGAUUGUUUUUCCGGGGAGUGAAGAUCUGCAUAUGAAAAUUAAUUUUUGCUGUGAGUGUGGACCUGUAUGUGAAAAUCGAUUACAGUCGAUCCACACGUGAAAAUUGAUUUUGGGACAAUUUCCCUACAAUUAACAUAUGUUAGUGCACCAUAAUAUUAUUAUGCAAUAGUAGAUGUUAAAAACCAAAGUCAACUCUUGUCUCUCCUCCCCCUUUUAAUUUGUCUCCCAUUAUCAAAAUGUUACUAGCUAGCUGACAGCAUUAUGCAUGGGCCAUCAUAUUAUUGAUUGUUCCAAAUACCCAGAUGCGUACGUUUUUUUAAUGGAAAAAUCUAUACUCCACGUACUAAAUUAUUUUGUACUAGCACUAGUACUAAUGUGCUACGCCGUAACUACAUCUACAUUUAAUUUCUAUAUGUAGCAGCAAACUCAUGUAAUUAGGUGUGUUUAGUUCGAAAAAGAAAAUUUUUGAGUGCCACAUCGAAUGUUUGAUCGAAUAGGGGAAGUGGUUUUCGGAUACGAAUAAAAAAACUAAUUUCAUAACUCAUCUGGAAACCGCGAGACAAAUCUUUUGAGCAUAAUUAAUCCAUCAUUAGUAUAUGUGGGUUACUGUAGCACUUAUAUAUGGCUAACUAUUGACUAAUUAGGCUCAAAAGAUUCGUCUCACGAUUUCUCCCCUAACUGUGCAAUUAGUUUUUUUAUAAUUUUAUAUUUAAUACUCUAUACAUGUGUUCAAAGAUUCGAUAUGAUAUUUUUUGAAAAAAAAAAUUUGAGAACUGAACCAGACCUUAACAUCCCGUGGGUGUAAAAUUCAGGCUGCUUGGAUGCCAAGUCGAUCGAGCAGCAGCGUAGGCUCCAAAACUGCGCAUGAGUACUAUUUUUUUUAACAAAUAUGUGCUCGGCAGAACAUAAUUUCGAGCGCAUAUCAGGAAUUCCAAGGAGGAGAAAACUUCUACUAUCUCCAUCUUAAAAUGUACUUCCUCCGUCUCAAAAAAAAAACUUAACAUCAUACUACGACGUGACACAUAUAUCACAUCCUAAUAUUAUAUUGUUUUUUUAGCACGGAGAAAGUUACUAUCAGUAUAGGAUGUGAUAUUACAUGGUGCUACGAAUUGGUGCAGGGCAGCAGCAGAGGGUUGGAUUGACGCACCGACGCGAGCGGCCGAUAUCAUCUGUGCUGCACGGGGUCGUACACGCACUGAACGACACGACUACUAGUGGACCACCGGACUGCCUGCAUGCCGCGCCGCGGGCUCCACUCCACCAGUAGUCCACUGAAUGCCCACAGGACUAACAGCUAGCUAGACACUGCAGUACUUGUGAGCCAAGCCAUGUGAAGUGAUGAUCGAUGUGAACGGAGAUGCCUAUGCCGAUGGGAUCGACGUAAGUGUAGUAUAGGGAGGUGAAAACGGGUCGGAUUCGGUCGGAUCCCAUCUUUCUUAUAUCCUAACCCAUAUUUUAUAAUCGGAAUCGGGUUGGACACGGAUAGUGCCGAAUAAGGAUACAAACUCAGAUAAUGUCGAGCAAAAAUACAGAAUGAACACUAUCGGUUACGAAUAUUUAUUCGGAUAUCAAGUCGAAGACAACAAUCUUAUAUAUCACAUAGACAAUAACCAUUUAACAAUACCAUAUAUCCAUAAUACAAUUAUAUUAAGCUAUUAGGAUCUUAGAAAAUAAAUAGGGUACAAUACAUCGUAGUAGAACCAAUACAUAGUACUAAAAGUUACCUCACAAAAACAUAAUACGGGUAAUAUCUGUAUAAUUAUCCGGGUAAUACUCGGAACUUUUACUGGAUAAUCCGUAUCCGUCGGAUACUACGUUUCCGAACCCGAUCUCGUAUCCGCCAAAAAAGGCCCGUAUUCGGACCCGAUAUCCGAAAUUUCGAUCCGAAUUUAUCCCGAAAUAAUGUGGCCGGGCGGGCGGGAGGGAAAUACCCGUCCCGUUUUCACCCCUACGUAGUACGUGCACAGGCGCAACAGUCAUCGGCACCGGGUCGACCUCAAUGUUUAGGCCCUGUUUAGAUCCCUAGCAAAAUUUUACACCCUGUCACAUCGAAUGUUUGGACACAUGCAUGAAGUAUUAAAUAUAAACGAAAAAAAUAACUAAUUACACAGAUUGUGUGUAAAUUGCGAGACGAAUCUUUUAAGUCGAUUUGAUAAUAUGGUGCUACAGUAAACAUUUGUUAAUGACAGAUUAAUUAGGCUUAAUAAAUUCGUCUCGCGGUUUACAGGCGGAAUCUCUAAUUUGUUUUGUUAUUAGACUACGUUUAAUACUUCAAAUGUGUGUUUUAAUAUAUCCAAUGUGACACGCCAAAACUUUACACCCCUGGAUCUGGACACAGCCUUAGGGUUUAAUUUGUUUGGAGAUUUUUUUUCAUAGAUGUAGCUUCUUCCAAAAUUAAAGUCAUCCACAAACAUUCUAUUUUUCCGUUAAAAUUUAAAAAGUUGUAGAACUUAUAAAAUGUAUUAGAAAACCACAGCCUAAAAAGCCCAGGCCAGCUUCUUCAUAGGGUGUGUUUAGUUCACACCAAAAUUAAAAAUUUGGUUGAAAUUGGAACGAUGUGACGGAAAAGUUGAAAGUUUGAGUGUGUGGGAAAGUUUUGAUGUGAUGAAAAAGUUAAAAAUUUAAAGAAAAAUUUUGAAACUAAACACGGUCAUGAUCGAAGAAGCUGGGUACCAACCAGGCAAUAGACCUUAGCUACAUGGGCACGGGACGAGGCGCGGAUUGAUGGAGAAGCUAUAGCUAGCUAGCCCCCACACUACGUACCCCACAGCCACGCGCGACGGUCGGCCAGCCGAUCGAUCGCAACCUAUCUGUCUAUCUAUCUCGCCAAAACGCGUGCGUGCACUAGUGCCCGCUCUGCAGCAAUUGCCUCAUGAACCCUCUCCAAGACUCGAACGAUCCAUCCAUCGUUCUAUCGCAGGCAGAUGAGGGUGGAUGUGUGUGCAGGCAGGCCGGGGCGGGUGGAGGGUCACCGCGACGUACGUAUGGCGACCGCUUCCCCGCGGCCGCGCGCGCACGCACGGCGGCUGGCGUGUGCAUGCACAAGAGUCCAUCCGUAGGCCUACCAGCCGGGUACCUAACAUGCAUGCAUGUAAUCUAGUUACGUUCCGCGUAUAUAACAUAUUCUAAUACUACUACGAAUUAUGACAUUCGGAUUAUAGUAUUAUGGCUGUGUACGUUUAGUUCACGCUAAAAUUGAAAGUUUGGUUGAAAUUAGAACGAUGCGACGGAAAAGUUAGAAGUUUGUGUGUGUAGAAAAGUUUCGAUGUGAUGGAAAAAUUAAAAAUUUGAAGAAAAACUUUAAAACUAAACACACAAACUUCUAAUUUUUCCAUCGUACCAUUCCAAUUUCAACCAAACUUCCAAUUUUAACAACACACCCUCAGUACGUUUAGUACGUGCUACUCAGAUAAGGCCAAUGAGAGCCGCACAUAGCGUGACAUAUGUGCGAUAUACAUCCGCCAACCGGAUACGUAUAAAGUCUGAAGUUGAUCGAUGGAAAUAUGGAAUCGACGUAGGGAUAAGAUAGAGGGGUACAGCUAGUGCUGCAGGCAGAAAAUCACAACCAGAGAAAGGGAAGGGAAAGGGUUCAUCCAAAAUUUUGUAUUUCAUAUGUUUAGUCAUAUUCAGUUAUUCAGUUAGGUACUACUGUUUCAUUUAUUGUAUUACGACUCUCUCGAGCUAGCCUAAUAUAUAUCUCGACGACGGUUCGCAUUAUAUAAGAAAUUAAAGACGAUUGAAAAAAAAAAGGAAUUGAGAGCUAUGACAACUAGCCAAAUCUUAAGUGAAAACAAAACACAGGAAUCCAUGUAGAGAUAAGUAAGAGUACAAAUGCAGUGAGAAAGUUACAAUAAGAGAGAGAUGGUUCAGCCAAAAUUUUUGUCUCGAAUUGCAUAUGUUUAGUCAUAUUCAAUCACACAAUGUUUUAUUAUAUCACGACUCUCUCUAGAUAGCCAAAAUUGGUGGAGGAUAGUUGUGAUCGGUUAUAAGAGAUGAGAAAGUUGGAGAAAUUAAUAAGAGAUGGCUGAGAUAAGGGGUAUAUAUAUAGAAGUGGUUAUAUAUUGGGACAUAAUUAUAAUUAAUGCUAAAUGUAGUUAUAUUAUGAAAGGGAGGUGAUAAGAAAUUAAUUAAUGGCUCCUUUCAAACACAAGAUUGCAAAAAUUACAGAAAUAGGAACAAUAAAGGAAUUAAGCAUCAUAUAUAUAUAGCUAGCCGAAUCUCACAUAAAAAAAACAUGUAUGAGAAUUUGGUAAAGAGGAUUUUGGUUGCUCCAGAGAAAAAUGUAAAAGAUGGGCUUUCAUCAAAUGUUUUGGGAUCGAUGGAAAACAAAUCAUGUAGUGAUUUUGGAACACAUUCCUACAAUACAAAUGACUUUACAGGGAAUAUUCUCAUAGGACUUCAAUCCUUCAAAAUUCAUGAAAAAAAUUCUCAAGUGGUGUUUGAUAAAUUAUAUAUAUUAUAUGCUUACAACAGAGCAUGUAUAUAUGUAAUUACUACUAGUUUGCCUUGCUUUCGUUUAUUGUGCUCCAAAUUAUUUAAUUUGUCAUGCAAUGCCUAGAUUACAAGUGGCACACAUUAAUUUCCACCAAGUCUUGGGAAACAUAUCAUGUAGAUUAUCGUCAUUAUAUGUGUUGCUGAUGUCGGUGUAUGGGUGGUGGUUAUUUUUUCUUUUUUGCCAGAAUUUUUUUCCCUGUUCCCUAUGUAUUAUGGAUUUGAGGUUGAAAUUGUACCCAACUUACCAAGUUGAUAUACUAGAAGGCUCAUUUAUCAAGUUCUUGCACCAGAACUAUUAAUUUUAAAUAAUAAGUAGUAUUUAAAUGUAUGUUAAGUUGGUACAUAGACCACAUUAUGAUUUUUUUUUAAAAAAAAGAACAUAGUACAAACAUAGGCGUUCAAACGUGCAUGCACCCAUCCCUAUAAACGCACGCAUGCACACCCUACUCCUAUGAGCACUUCUGAAAGACUGAGCCGAUAUAUCUUGAGAUUGACAAAGUCAUCACGGAUGUCUUGCUUUUCACAAGUAUGUCGCGUACCAGCAAAAGAAUAAUUAGCCGUGUGCACAUGUGGUGGGUUAGUUACACCGCAAGAAACCUAAUCAGUUGUUUCUAAAAAGAAAGAAAUAUAAUCAAAUGAGUUACGCUCACUUCGCACAUUAUGUUACAUUUGUACUCAAAAGUAUAGGGAGUAUAUAUUAUCAAUAGGUUAAUUAAAUUAUGUACCAGAAUCAUUUAGUCUAUUAUUUUUUAAAAAAAACAAAUCCUCCCUACAUAGUGCCCAAAAUUAAAUGCCCGAAAAUGAGAUAUACAUACACAUAGGCAUCAAGCUAUAAAAAUGGCACGUUUUUCCUGCGAGGUGUUUCAGGGAUUUAUUAAUAUCAUAUUGGUGACAGUUUAGCAGACGGUACUGAAUAAUCUCCCCAUUAAUCCCCCGAUGCCCCCACACGUCACUGGUCGGUUACUAGGUGUCGCCACAAGUAAAUUAAAGCGCAAGAUCGAUCGAGCUCAUCUCUUCAGACUAGAUCCACAAAUUAAAGGCGAGAAAGAGGGAAAAAAAAGAUUAGAGAUUGGAUCGAUGGAUGGAGAGAUGGCAUCUGCCAGCCAGAGGCCAUCGUUGUCGCUCGCUUUUUCACGCUGUGAUGAGGACAAUCCUGCAAUACCUCCGGCUUUUUGGCUUGCAAACUUCGCACAAAUCUUCCAUGGCCUCCUUCCGCGGACACGGACAGCGACCUCCCAUCCGCUGCCCUCUGCAUGUGUACAAUUCAUUCGCGUUGCGUUUCUUGCCAAUCUGGAUCUCUCUCUUUCACCUGUAUUCUCUCUCGAUCUUGUUCUUGUUAUACAUGCGUUUGCGUGUGGCGACCGGCGAGUGAUGAUUCGAUCGAGCUGCUUGUGAGCUACAUUUUGUUCCUAUAUGCUGUUGUUGUUGCCAUGUUACUCCAGUUUAAUUGAUUUAAUUAAUUGUGAUUCUCUUUUGUGUAUGGCUGCCGCUAAUUAUUCUGGCCCACAUCUCAGGGUAGCUAUAGGCCACGUAAUGAUGGAAUUGAGGUGUAGCAGGAUUAAGGAAAAUCUUGAAAAGCAAUAUUUUACAUAAGCUGUUACAUUUGUGAUAGGAUUUUUUUUUUGGUUGGUAGCAUAUAUUGCAAAUUUAUUUAUUUAUUUGUAGCAAGGUGAUCAUCUUAGAUAGAUGCAGGGCACUGGAUUAAUUGAAUGUAGCCGUGUAGAUUGUCUUUCUUUGAGAUAUGGUUCGCUAUCAGCUGUUCACACAUAGCUCAUGCGUCAGUGUCAAAUUAAGAGUAAUCACUGUACUAGCAUAAAUGAAAAGAAAGAGCAACAUUUUCUGUUACAAUAUAGUCAAUUAAUUCGUCCUACAUGUACUCUUCCCGCCAAUUGCGAGCAGCGGAGUAAAAUGUUCUGUUGGCACCAUAUUCCCCUCUCAUCCUCAUUUCCUUCAAAUUAAGUCGCUCUCGCGAAGUCAUUUUACGUCAAAAUUUUAUAUGAAUUUUCAAAUAAUUAAAUUAAUUCAUGUAAAAAUUCUUCAAAACUCUUUUAGUUCAAAGGAGACCCCAAUUGGUGUGGAUUAACUCUAAAGUUAGCUGAGUUGAAGAGUCCAGCAGUUUAGCUUUUUGGGUUUUUCUUUGGUUCCGUCAAUAUUCUACCUGAAAGUAUUCGCUCAAAAAAAAUAUUCUGCCAGAAAUUGUUUACACACAUAUGGUGCACAUUCAUGAUUUUUUUCAUCCUAGAUUUACUGUUAAACCCUGAUAAGACUCUGAAAUGUUCAUAUAGUUAAUAUGAAGAUGAAGAGAUCAACCUAGCUAGUACAUACACAUCUUUCUUUUGACUGUAAAGAUUACAAGCAUCGUCAUAUAUUCUCUCGGGAAGUUAUUCCACUAUUGAAUAUAUUGAUCUGUUCUAAAAUAAAAAGAUUAUUCCACCAUUGUUCUAUUAGCUGGAUACUUCUCGGUACAAAGACUGGAUGAUUGAUUUCUAUUAUCGAAAAAAUUAUUAUCCUAGCCCACACAAGGGCUUCCAAAUCGUAGGAAAACUGGCCCUGAAUCCAUGAUGAGAUAUUCGGUACACGCAACUAAACCAAAUCCUAUAUACUUAUCUAGUUCAUCCCCACUAAGUGUAGUUAUCGCUAUUUCUCUCUUCUCUCAAUAAGCCACAUCACCUCAAUUAUUUUUAACCAUUGGAUGAUAGAUCCAUAGUUCAAAUUGUCUCUUCUUUCUUCUCUAAUAACACCAUGCAAUCUCAAUUAUUUAUAGGCUCAAAAUUCAUAUGUAUAUCAAUUUGUUUUAAUUUUAAUAAUCAUAUUUCAUCAUAUUUGUACAUAUUAUGUAAUUUAAUUUCCCGCAGCAACGUGGCGGGGUAUUCAUCUAGUUAAAAAGAAGAAUCAUGAGUGAGUAGGUGCAAAAUGUGCAGCGAAGAAAAUAGUCGCAAAGCUUUAAUUAGGGUAAGGUUGCUAAAUAAUAUUUCAGUGAUAAAGACAUGGUUGGGGAAAUAUCCUCUAGAGGAUAUCAGUACUAAUAAAGGGGCCUAAAAGAGUUCCAACCUAAUUAACUAAAAUGAAGCACAAUAACGAACGAAAUAAAUUAAUUGCUUUCAGAAACAUAAUUGGAUGAGGUGUACCAUCUCGUCUCUAUAGAAGGUUCAAAGUGUACCAUCAUCAGGGCCAUACUUUGGAUUUUGGAUGAGAUAGAGAGAAAGAUAAUGGACAAGGAAAAACCACCUGCAGGCUGCAGUUGCCAUGGAAAGUUGUAAACCAUAGUUAUUAGUUAAAUAAAAAGAAUCAUAAUCACAACCAGUUCGCAUGUAAACCAUAGUAAAGAGGAAAAUAAUAAUAGGCAUGUAGUUGCAGUGAAAAUAAUAGCAAAAUGUUCCAUGUUACUGUCAUACUACCUAGGAUUUUCGAUGAGUUGGAGAGAGAUGAUAAACAAGAAACCAUGACCUGCAGUUGCCAUGUAAUAACCUUUAUAAACCAUAGUCAAAUAAAUUAAAGAAUAACAAGCCCAACCAGUGCAUGUAAACCAUAGUUAAAGAAAAGAACAAUGAGAGAGCGUGUAGGUGCAAAAAGUGCGGUGAAAAUAGUAGCAAAAUGUUCAGGGUCACAGGUGACAGAGACAGAGGACCGAAGAGCUGAUACAACAAAUGAGAGGGAUAAAAGACAUCUAAUCCAAUUAGUUGAGGAAGGGAACGUAUCGAAGGAAACAAAUCGCUCUGGCAGAGACAGCAGUACCAAUGCAAAUAGAUGGACGCGUGAAACUGAACAAAAAUAAUAAGAAGAACUCAACAGCUGCUGGGCUGGGGCGUGCGUAAUACAUACGUCAUGCAUUUCGUCACGGCAGUUAAAUUUUAACUGGCGUAAAACAUAUCAGCUUCAUAAUUUUGGACCACAUAUGGAUAUGGAAGUGUCUAAACGAGUUAGCUACUCAAGUGCCGGUUAAUUUGUUUGUGAUAAAACUGUAUUCAUUGAGACGGAUGAAUUGGAAUGUAACAGUUUCAAAACGAUCAUUGAAGAUAUGAAGUGAGCGUAGUUCCUCAUCACGGAAGAAUCUAAAUUUUACACUUUACACGGAUAUUCACAUUUACGGCCACAUUCUUUUAGUGAUAAACCAUCAUCAACAAUACACUUGUAGUGAUUUUUUUUAAUCUUAAGAUAUGAUUGUCUAGUUUUUUAGAAAUGCUCGCAAAGAUGGGGUAUAUACAUUUAUAAGUGAGCACUCUAUUAGAUAAAAAAGGGACCCUAGAUGAUGCUCAAUUUGCUCACUAAUACUAGGAAAGAAAGUACUGGUCAAUUGGACUGCUCCAGAGAAAGUCCUGUACGAUUUGGUCACGCAAAGGCUUCGUUCGACAAUGCUGAUUGUCCGGGCCUUUUCAAAUUCAGCCUAACUAGGACUGUUUUUGGAGCAAUCCAAAUGAUCAGUGACUUUCUUUCCUGUUAAACAAAAAAUGGGUACGGUUUCGAAAAGAUCUGAAGUUCUGAACCGCCCUACGGGAAACAACACACUCUAGGAUUUCAAGUUUUCAACCCAUAAUUCUAGAAUUCGAAUAGGGAAUUUCAGUUCAUAAGGCUCAGGCAGAUAGGAAGCAACGACAUUCCGCACUCUGCAAGUCCGAAACAUAGGAAUACAGCUACAACUUUGCAACGUUACGGUAGGUAAUGGCACGGUUGACGAUAAGACAAGAACAAUUUAAAGUUGGCAUUCUUCAAACCAGAACAUGCCAUGACAAGUGGAUGCGAUAGUUAGCACCUAGAGUACUUUUUAGCGAGGAUUUAACUCAUGUCAACAAUGUAUCAAAAAAGGAUGGCACAAAAAUUUAUCAUUACUAUCCAUCACCAACAGCGCGUCCCACUGUAACUCAAAGGAGAGCUUCAGCCCUGAUGAUAGCAGGUUCAGUCAAAUUGUACUUUAUCCAGCUGCGUAAUCAUCUCCUCAAACUGCAAAGUAUGACAAAGAAAUGAUACAUUAUAUAGGGUAUAAAUGAGAAAACUACAAGUGCAUCCAACGAAAUGAUGUCGCAUGUGUGACCAAGUAAACAUGGUAAGCUGUAAAAAGAUCUACAGGUACCUUCAAAAUCUGUCUCAAAAAGUAAUCACCAUGGUUCUUGGUUAACUUGGAUUCAACAACAUGAAUAAUGUCCUGUGUGGAUACAAAAAGAUUUGGUGAGUCAAAUAGAAUAGUCAUUUGUAAUAAGUCACAUCACUCCAUUUGUAAGGUAACACGUCUAAAGUUCCAUACUAGGAAGUGUGGGAAAAAAAAACACGGACUUCAUGUCAUUCAUGCAGUAUUUCAGCCACUGAUAAUCAUUACACUAGUCAAAUUCAUAACCCCAGGUACAGAAAGUUUUGAGUUCAAAAGCAUACACAAGGAAUUUAUAUUUUCACUAAAAGCACAAAUCAUGGAGAUAAUAUUUCAUGAACAUGUAAAACAAAAAUUAUAUUCUCCAAGCAUUUAAUCGCCAUCAGGAAAUCUAAACAAUAAUAGCGCUUGAAGCGCAGAAGGUUUCAAAUUAAAAAGCACACACAAAAAAGUUAUCAUAAAAACACAAAGCAAGGAGAUAAUGUUUCAAGAAUACGUUAAAAUGAACACUAUUUUCUCCAAGCAUUUAGUCAUCAACAGGAGAUCUAAACAGUAUGGGUGAGUCUGGUUCCCUGUAUGCUGGAUGACCUGUCUGGACACACCAAGCCUGCCUCAGAUGGACUGGUUUCCAACAUAGAUUUUGAUUUGUUUGGUCAGCUGAGUUUAUUUGGCCAGUCUACCACAGAAAUUGUUUGGUUUCAUGCAUAUGUCACUUCUCUCAUGGAACAUCUUGAGAGGACACUGCAUAUAGGCAGCUCUUUCUUGACUCAAGCAACCAGGCCAAUAAGAAAUGAUUCUGGAACUUGUUUCCUCAUGGCCAGGCUCCCACUACUUUUUGCGCACAGAGGGAUAGGUCCACUGACCUCUGCAGGAAACCAAACAAGUGGUUGCUGCAUGCACUAAGCCAAGACAAAGACGAUACGAGGAAUCAAACGAGCCAUAAUAGUGCUACUACCAAGCAAAUUUAUAGGAAAACAUAAGACAAACCAUUCUUUUUCUCACACAUGAAUGUGAGGAUCGGUACAAAUAAAUUCCAUAGUUAGCAAGGAGAUGACGUAAAAAUUAAUUAUCCUACCUCAUCAAUAUAGAAGUCAAAGUCUGCACUGGAUAUGACCUUUCCGUCACUGUCGAUUGAAUGCAUUUUGUGCUUGUAUGUCAUAAGAAUUGUCCUGCCAUCAUAUAACAAUUAUGUUAUCAUGAAUGAGAAAAGUCAAGUAUUAGCAGUAAAAUAUUAUAUUAAAAAUACACAGACCUUAGUGUAACCUCAUCCACAUCCAUGUAUUUGGCAAGUUUACCAAUUGUUAUCGUUGAAUACAACUUGAGAUAGCUUCGAAUACCAGAGAGCAACUGUUGUUGUUUCACUUCAUAAAGAAAUAGUUUCAACUGAAGACGAUAAGCAUCCUGUUGAAUGAUACAUAGUUAAAUAAUUUGGUGUGGAUACAAGAAAAAUAAAGCCUGCUUUUUGACAAGUGAAACUCACAAAAAAACUUGAAAUAAACAGUAUUAAAAUAAAAACUAUGUUUUCAUAACCAAGUGCAUGGUAGAACUGAACAAAAAGAAUAUCACUGAUACUGCAUUAUUGGAUUAUCAGAAUUUAGUAGUAAUGUCUGAGCAAGUAGAUACCCAAAGCAUAGGCGGGAUCUAGGGGGUGGUCCCGGGACCACCCAAGAAAAACCCUAGCCCAAUGCAUAUAUACAUAUGUGAAAAGAAACUUGUGGAAAAAGAAAAAAAAAUAACUCCAUUAUUAAUAUAUUGUGAUGUACAUUUAAUCCAUUUAUACUUCUAACCUUGUUAUAUAUAUAUAUAUAUAUAUAUAUAUAUAUAUAUAUAUAUAUAUAUAUAUAUAUAUAUAUAUAUAUAUAUAUAUAUAACUUGGACCACCCAUAUAAAAAUACUAGAUACGCCAUGGACCCAAAGAUGUGCAUUUCAGGUGUCACAUAAGAUGCUAAGUAAAGAUACUCAAAGUAACUGACAUGCAACUUCCGCAAAUUGUAAUGUUAAUGCAUAACAAGGGAAAUAGUAAAAUGAACCUCAACGUUCAGCUGCUCAAUUGUCAUUUCAACAAUAUAAGGCAGUAAGGCACAAACAAACAAUAAUUCAAAAAAAUAAAACUCCUACAUCACUUGAGAUAUUACAGACAAUUUGAUACACCUAGAAUGCUUUGGUCCUAGCCCAAUUAAGGGUGUAGUAUAGUUUCAAAAAAAGCAUAAAAAAGACCACCCCAAUCUUUACUUUAAGUAAUACCUGGUUGUAGUUUGUGUAUGGCUCUCGUAGAACUGGAGGCGACGCAGUAAUGAACUUGGGGCAGGCAUAGGAAAAGAGUUCAUCAUAAAUAGCAUAUGCCUCAUCAUCAUACCUAUGCAUCUUUGUCAUUUUGUCCCCAUACUUUUCCUUCAGCUGAGUGCCAACGUUUUCAUCUAUGAGCUUGUCCUGUGGACACAAUGAGAGGCAGAUCGCCAAUAGUGCAUACAUCUGCUCAUUCUUCUUAAGUAGCUGGUCAUACUGGGGGGAAUUCUGGUGGUAUUGCUUACACUUCAGGAUAUACAACAGAAUUUUGUUGAAUUCACGUAUACCAUCAAUAUACCUGAAAUCCAUCCAGAAAUAUGGUUUAUCAGAUAAAAGAAGUCAGACAGGACAAUUCAUGAUGGUGAACUAACUAGUAACAUGACUCCAUUCAUCCAUUAAGCAUUAGGUUCUCAUAUGGGACAGAAUAGCAUGCUUCACAGUAAAGUUUUUUUUUUUUUUUGGGUUCACAGUCAACAGGACUACCUAAAUGUUGGAAAAUCCAAAUUUUUGGUAAGGUUGCAAUAAGCAAUAACAAAUUUUGGUAACAAUCCAAAUGAACGAAUAACUCCGUUAGCAUUAUCAAUAUUAAGUAAGGCAAAUUUUGGCAUCAAAGAGAAAUGAUCCUAAGUACUUCAUCAGAGGUAAGUAGGGGAAGUGUCGGGCUUAGCUCAACCUUGGAUUCUUGGACCAUUAUUAAGUAGAGAACAGCAUAAGCACUAUUGACUACAAAAGGACUGCCCAGAAAGCUUUUGCCAUAUUCCAUAAGAUGAAAUGAUGUUAAACGGCAAUGUUACAUUUAGUUCACAUACGCAGAGCUUAAAAGUAGGAGUAAUAUACUAUAUAAUAGGACCACCUGCAAUUAUGGUAAACAUAAGCAAUUUAUAUAUAUAUAUAUAUAUAUAUAUAUAGGACACUCAUAUGGGGGCACCAUGGUUUCAAAUGCACAAAAUCACUCAAAUUUUUCAAAAUUUUCAAAUUGUGAGUAUAUACCUAGUUAUAAGAAUUCGAUUCAUACCUAUACCUAUCAACAAAACAACUCAAAUUUAACUUUAUUUCACAAUCCAUGAUUACAUACCUAACUAAUUAUAUGUAUGGAUGCUAUAUACCUAGAAUCAAAAUCUAACAAAAACAAGUUCAAAUUCAGUUCAAACUUGCUUUCAACUAGUUAGUAAAGUAGUUAAUAUUAAUACCUAAAUAAUUGAAAAAGUUUCAUGCUCAUUUGAAUUGGGUAUAUACUCAAUUUCAACAAUGGUGCCCGGGCACCAUGGAGCACCAAACAAAUUUACUAUAUAUAUAUAUAUAUAUAUAUAUAUAUAUAUAUAUAUAUAUAUAUAUAUAUAUAUAUAUAUAUAUAUAUAUAUAUAUUAAAAGAAGAGUUGAAAGAGUCAUUCUGAAGUGAUUGAAGAGGUACCAAAAAAAGUUCAAUUAUAUGGCACAGAAAGUGGACCAUCACUGGUUACCCAAAGGGGUGAGGGUACGCAUUUUAUAUCCCAUCAGCAGAAAACAAGUAUAGCAUGAUGCUAGACAAGUACACAUACAAGUAUCAAAAGAAGGAUAAUCAUUCAUACUGUACCAUACUGGGUAGGAAAGUAAAAGAUAACCCAGAAUUUAUAUAGCUGAAAUAUCACUAGAUACUCCAUCAAAUCCAAAAUAUAGGUCAUACUUGCCUUCUCAACUCUUCUCUCUAAAUGAGUCAUGUGAACAAGUCUCAAUUGACUUAUUUGGUUAGAGAAAGCAUAUGAUUUUUUUCAACAACAAAACUCUAGAUGUAGAACAAUAAACGAUAGAUAAAGAAAAUAGAAAUAAAGAUGGGAAACAGAGAUGCUCAGGCAAGUUAGCUUAACGCAUACCUGCGCAUCAUGAGGCUGGCAAACCCAUAGUGAUAAAUAGUGGAAAUGUGGCUUCCAAUCACAGUGGUGUAGACACCCUGCUGGCUUAUAUCUAUUGGAGCCAAGCACUUGAGCCCAGUAUGGUAAUCCCCAAGAAGGCAAUGCACCCUGAGCAGCCCAAUCAUGCUGUAGUACCCCAGCAUCUUCAACACAUUGCUCCCGCCCUCAUAGUCAUACCCAUCAGUUGCCGUGAACUGUUCAAGCCCUACCUUCUCCCUCUCCAGGAUCUCUCCAAUCAUUGACUUCUCCACCAGUGCUUUCAAGUAAUUAAGAACCCCAUAAACACUCCAUGCCUGUAAAAUUAUAAACAGAUUAAUUAUGACAGAGCUAUCAACAGAAAACUCAUACAUAAAACAAAGCUAAGCCAUCCAGAUCCAGGAUUCAUCAUACCGAGCACCCAACCUGAAUCUAACUCUGAUAAACGACCUCCACAGCACAUGUCAUUGAACAAACAGUGAAAUAAAUGAGGCUACUGCUAAAUAAACUCGUAAUGGAAAUUUAAUGUCAAUGCAAAUCUCAUAGCACAAGCAAGAGCAACCUCUUCCGCCUUAAUUACAAAUCACAAAGAAAAUUGAGACUAUCACUAACAUGUGCAAUCAAGAACCAGCUCUAUUAUAUUACUUCAUAAUAAAUACCAUAGUCCAAAUAAAUAACAGAAUUAACAAGCCUACCCUUCAUUAGGCAACACCAGCAUACCAAUGGAAACUCGUCGAAUCGCAACACGAUUCCUGAUUUACUCUGAACGAUGGACUAAUAAAAACUAAGGGAGAUUCAGAUUAUAGAGGACCUAUGCCACUAUACCAGUGGAAACUCAUACUGAUUUACUCUGAAUGAACGAUGGAUAUAAUAAUAGUAAAAACAAAAGGGAGAUUGAGAUGGUAGAUGAGAGGACCUGGUCGUACUGCUUGAGGAGGGCGAUCUCCUCGUGGGUCUUGUUCUUGAGCUUGGCGCGGUACUGGCAGAAGCUCUGGAACUGGUAGACGAACUCGUCGACCAUGUCCCAGAGCCACUGGUUGGGGAGCUGCAUGUUGACGACGCCCUGGAGGACGACGCUGAAGAGGGAGCAGUAGUUGUCCCACGACUCGGCGCGCUGCGCCGGGGUGAGGCCCUGGACGCGGGCGUGGGCGUGGCGGAACCAGAGCUCCCGGUAGAGGAGGAGGAAGACGUGGUCGCCGUCGCAGUGCGCCGCCACGGCCUCCGCCGGCGGCCACGGCGUGUCGCGGAAGUGGCGGUCGGAGAGGCGGGUGAACCCGCCCUCGUACAUCUGGUGCGUCUCGUACACGUUGCGGUCGCGGAUGUGGCGGUAGAGGUGCGACACGAACGUCUUCACCGAGUCCGGCACGUAGCUCGGGUCGUACGCCGCCAUGGCGCCGCCUCCCCCGGGGCCGGACGACGGCGGCGCCGCGUCCUCCCUGUCGCGGUAGAAGGCGGCGGCGGCGGAGGAGGCCAUAUGGCGAUCUAGGGUUUCGAGGUUUCGGGGGGUUUUUGCGUGAGCUGGUCGAGGAAUGGUGAUGACCAAGCCUAUCUCACUAUCUGGUCGGCCUGAAAGUGGGCCCAUCCACCUAAUGGGCCGGCCCAAUUUCGAACGGGCCGGUCCAAGCCCAACUCGAGCUGGCUAAAUUUAGAGAUUUAGGGUUAAAACGAUAAGGCUCCAUCCUCGCUAGUUGUGGCGAGCCCCAAAACCAACUCCCAAUCCGCAUCUCCCUCCGCUGCGCCGGCGCCGCCGCCCGCCGCCGCCGUGGCCCGGCCGUCGGCUCGCCUCCGCCUCCAUCCUCGGGCACCGGACGUCGUCCCCGCCGCCCGGAGGCCGACCCCUUUGCCUCCUUAGGCCUUCUGCCCUAGUUCCGGCGGCCUGGCUCUAAAUUCGGCCGCAGCCGGCGCAGGUCGAUCACCGCCCGCGCGCCAUUGGAAGCGGAGGUAAUCCCCCGCCCAGCUGCCAAGAUGAAUUGGCUCUUUAUUUAUUGAUAUGUGCUCCCGGCUGCCAAGAUGAAAUGUUUAUUUAUUGAUAAAUUUGAUAUGCUGAGUUGGGAAUUUUUGUAUGUGCUUGUGCACUGGAUCAGUUGAUCUGAUUGAAACUAAUGCUGAUUUUAGGUGGAGAAAGGAAGCUGGCAUUGGUGCGUGAUUGAAAUGCUGACCUGAUUUUUUUUAGUACAUUGAGGAUGUGCGUUCUCUGAACUUUUUACUGAAAUGACUGUUGCAUGAAAAAUAUGUGCUACAUUCUAUUUUUGUACAACACUCUAUAGACUGAACAUAUGCCAUUUUUUGUUAUAAAUUCAACAGUAGCGAUGGAUGGAGACAGUUGUUAUGUUAACUCACUGGUUGUUAAAAUCAACUCGCCAGAGUGGGAUGAUGGCACCAUGAUGGGGGCUAGUCCACCCGAGGAGCAACAUUCAACGGUCGAAGAAGUUGUUGUCGUGAGACGAAACCAGAAAAGAACAAAGAAUUUCAGCGGGAAGGAAGACGAAGGGUUGGUUUCGGCAUGGUUGAAUGUUAGUAAGGAUGUAGUCCAAGGCAUCGAACAAUCUCGUUGUGCAUACUGGAAGAGAAUUUACGAUUACUUCCACGCAAACAAGGACUUCACCUCAGACCGUUCUCAAAAUUCCCUCAUGCACCGCUGGUCUACUAUUCAAGAGAAUGUGACCAAGUUCGAGGGUUGUCUAAGCCGGAUUGGGGAUAGAAAGCAAAGCUGGGUUUCAAGUCAAGAUAAGGUUUGCUCAUAUGUCCUUAAAACUAGUUCCUCAUUUUUCAUAUAGUGACUAGACAUUUAAUAUGACAUUUUGAUAUGUGCAGAUUAUGCAUGCAUGUGCUCUGUACAAGGCCGAAGAUGAGAACCAUAGGCCAUUUCACAUGAUGCACUGUUGGAAUCUCUUGAGAAACCAGCAAAAAUGGAUUGAUAGGUCGUCUCAGCUGCCAUCUCACAAAAAACAGAAGAUAACCAACAAUUCAAGUCUAGGUAUGUCUACUACUACUACUGAUGAUACUGCGGCUGCUCCUCCUCCUCCUCCAGGAUUUGAGUUAUCGAAGACUCCAGAAAGUAUUAAUGCUCCUCCAAGAUGUGAGUUAUCUGAGAGACCAGAAAGUAGGAAUGCUCCUCCAAGAUGUGAGUUAUCUGAGAGACCAGAAAAUAGGAAGGGGGAGAAAGAAAAACUACGACGAGGUGGAGAUGUGGUCUUUGUGGAGGAUUUAGAUGAUUUGUUGGCAAAGAAGAAAGAGGCAGAUGUGGAGAAAGAGCUCAAGAAAGAUGAGAGAUAUAUACAAUCACAUGCCCUAGAGCAAGAGAAGGUUGCACUAGAACAAGCGAAGGUUGCAAACGAGACAAAAAAUCUUGAGAUGAGGAGCAAAGAAUUAGAAUUGAAGACCAAGGAGAUAGAUUUGAAAAGAAUGUUAGAAGAAGAGAGGAUUAUGACUAUGGAUAUUAGUGCCAUGUCUGGGCUACAACAACAAUAUUACAAGAGCUUGCAGGAGGAGAUCGUCACUCGACGAUUUAAUAGCUCGGGUUGACCUCGUAUGUCUAUUAUUGUUGUUACGGACUAUUAUGUUUUGCGAACCAUGUUGAAGUCGUAUAGAGAAUUAUGGUAAACAGCAAACCUUGUUAAAUUGUUCGGACUGUUAUGGAAUGCAUACCUUAUAGGCUUAUACCUUAUCAAGUUGUAUGGACUGUCUUGGUGUGUGAAGCUUUAGGCCCUCUUUGUUUAGGCUUAGUCUUAUUGGCUUAGAUUUUUAAGUCAGCUUAUUGGCUUAUAUGAUUUAUAAGCCAGUGAAUUUAAUGUCCUAAGUUUAGUGGUGGAGUCAUACAUCUAUCUCAGAUAAGCCAAAAAAGCUUCUCCAACCUAGCUUUUGGCUUAAUAGUGUAAGAGUGGCUUAUAGCUUCAAAAAAGCCAAACGAAAAGGCUGCUUGUAGGGGUGGACAGGAAGCUCGUGGCUCGUUAACUCGCUCGGCUCGUGACAGGCUCGGCUCGGCUCGGCUCAGCUCGUUUGAAUUUCCUAACAAGCCGAUCUGGCAUUUCAGCUCGUUAGAGAUAACGAGCCAGCUCGAGCUGGCUCGCGAGCCUUAACGAGCCAGAGCAGAUGAGGCCCAGGCGCCUAGCCCAGCCCAACAGCCCAUCACCCAGCCCAUCACCUUGUGAAAACCCUAGAGUCAAUCCCCUUCUGGCUUGUCCCCAUCCUCAAUCCCCACCCAAGCCACCGCCGGCCUCAUGGCUGCCGCUCGCCCGCGCCUAUCCUCCCCGGCGCCGACGCCGCCGUCCCCGCCUCUCCUCCCCGGCGCCGACGCCGCCGGCCGUGGACGCCGCCGCCCGCGCCGCUCCUUCCCGCCGCCGCCGCCGCCGCCGCCCGCGCCUCUCCUCCCCGGCGCCGACGCGGCCGGCCGUGGACACCGCCGCCCGCGCCGCUCCUCCCCGGCACCGACGCUGCCGUGGACGCCGCCGCUCGCGCCGCUCCUCCCCGGCGCUGACGCAACCAGCCGUGGACGCCGCCGCCCGCGCCGGUCCUCCCCGGCGCCGACACCGUCGUGGACGCCGCUGGCCGCGCCGCUCCUCCCCGGCGCCCCUCCUCGGCUCCUCCCCUUGUUCGCUUUCUCUCUUGUCCCCAAAGCUCACGAGCCUAACGAGCUGGCUCGAGCUUUCAAACGAGCCGAGCUGAGCUGGGUUUCUAGAGCUAGCUCGUUAUCCUAACGAGCCAGACCGAGCCGAGCCGAGCCGAGCCAGCUCGACAUCCACCCCUAGCUGCUUGUUUGUUUAGGCUUAGACUUUUUGGCUUAUAAAUUGGCUUAUAAGCCUAAACAAAGAGGACCUUAUUAUGUUUGAGCUUAAGUUAUUUUGGUAUAAAUUAGGACAGUUCAAAUAUGCUACUCCCCCCGUCCCACAAUAUAAGGGAUUUUGCCCCCAUCUAGUUGUCCCACGAUAUAAGGGAUUUUAGUGUACUACUUAUCACAUCCAUCAACUCCAAUUUAAAUUUUUACCUAUUUUAACCCUCAUCUACCCACUCACCUAUAAGCAAAUACUCCCUCCGUCCCACAAUAUAUGGGAUUUUAAAAAAGUUUUUGUUUGCACUGUUUGAUUACUCGUCUUAUUCAAAAAAUUUUGGAAUUAUUUUUUUUUGACUUACUUUAUUAUCCAAAAUACUUUAAACACAACUUUUUGUCUUUUAUAUUUGCACAAAUUUUUUAAAUAAGAUGACUGGUCAAACAAUACAAACAAAAACUCAAAAUUUCUUAUAUUAUGGGACGGAUGGAGUAUCAUUUAAUAAGGGCAUUCUAGUAUUUUCUUGCUAUCCUUAAACUUACAUAAAAGGGAAUAAUACUUUAUAUUAUGGGAUGGAGGGAGUAACAUGGUACUGACCACAUAAAUAUAUUAUUCCAACAAUAUGGACUACAUUCCUAAUGCAUUUCUCCAUGACAUUCACUUCAAGAAAAUUGAAGUGUUCCCCCCCAAAGUUUUCAACAUUGUGGCAAUAAUUUAUACUGUUGCCAAAGUUUUAGUUUUUUGGAGUAAUUAGUACAAUUUGUUGAACAAUAUAGUGUUGUAUUAGUACAAUUUUUUGGAGUAAUUAGUCUUUUUUUUUUUUGGAAAAAAGUACUUUAUAGUUUUGUUCCAACAUAAAUGAGUUAUGGCAACAAAAAGAAAAAUGGCUAACCUUUGCAACAUUAAAAACUCUAAUUCUACAAUUCUGAUUUUGUGCCAAAUAGUUUAACGUAUUGGCGUAUUGCCAUGUUAUACAAUUAUUGUAUUUCACAAAAAGAAAAAAGAAAAAUACAAGGACAUAGUAUUAUUCAAGUAGUACUGCUAUGAUUUCGUAUCGAUGUAAUCAAUUUCUUUAGCUUUUUUAUAUCCUUUUAGCCAUGAAUAUCAAUUUAUUCUUAAUAGGGAAAUCAGUUGCAGGAACACACGGGCAGUUGGACUCUUGUAGCCACCAGCCAAACCAACCAACAUCGCCACCAAAGCAAGCGUUGAUUCCGCCCUUGGUCUCUCGACCAUCGGCUACAGCGGUAGUGGCCCCCUGCUGCUACCAUUGUGACGUAGUGGACUUGAUAUAGCAUCUUAUCUUACAACUUAGUGGUCACUAUUUUGGAUUUGGCGGGUCACUAUAGAAUGAUCUUAUUUUAUAUAACCACUAACCCAUAUAUAACAAAUGACAAAUUUCUUAGUUGUUUUUGUGUCCCAAAACAUUGUAUUAUUAUGAGUUGUAACGUCUAAUGAGUAGAAUAGCAUGUUUGGUUCUUAAUUUAAUUUUAGUUAGAACAACAUCUUCGAAUGCUACUAAAUAUUUACUUAUGCUCAUAGGUUAUAUGUGUAUUGAUCUAUCACUAAUUUGUUUCUCAGUUGAUUUCUUAAUGUUUUUGAAGUUAUUAUUCAAGAUAUGUACACUCAAAUAUGUGUGAUAAUUAAAUGCGGCUAUUGGAAUUUAGCAUUUGCUAUAGCACCGGUUAUCCGCGAUCCGCUACAUAGGCAACCUUACUUCUCUUCUCCAUUCGAAGUGAGAUCUGUCUCUUCUCGUCUUCUUGAGUUGGAUACUUGGAUUUGCUUUACCUUAAUACUAAAUCAAUUUCUUUUGUCUCUUUUGUGUUUGUGUGCGAACAUGGAGGUACGAUGGCUUCACACUAUAUCCUUCCUUGUUAGUUGGGAGUAUAGUCAACUCUAAUGACCCAAAGGUAGGCAACUGCAUUCGCUGUGUUGCACUUGGAGAGCCACUAGAGGAGAGAGUAGAGGAUAGUGUCAUACCCAUACAUUGGGUUGUUUUUUCUAGCCAUUCUUGACCAAGGCUGAGUUUAGUUCCAAAAUUUUUCUUCAAACUUCUAACUUUUUCAUCACAUUAAAACUUUCGUACACACACAAACUUCCAACUUUUCCAUCACAUUGUUCCAAUUUCAAACCAAACUUCCAAUUUUAGCGUGAACUAAACACACCCCAAAUACUAGAUACCAGCCAUUGAGUUCAAUUCUAGUGGAGACAGAAUGUGUCAGGGCCCACAUGUCAGAUAAAUUAUGUCUUUGGUCUACAUAUUGAAGAGAGCUGAUGAGUUUUUUUAAUAUAGGUGAGGCUUAUGAUAAUACCUAUGGCUAAUUCAUACACUGUAGCAAUUCCAGCGAUUCUUGUACACGAUAGGCCAAUGUUAAUGUUGGGUUCUCUCACGAAUUCACUUUGAUUAACUAGAAAAGGAAUAAGUUUACUUGAGGUUCCUCACAAUUCGUCAAGUCUGAAAUUCAUCCCUAAACCGAAAAACAUGACAGAAUGCGUCUCUCAACUCCCAAAACCACUGCAAAUAAGCUCCCAGGAUGGUUUGGACUGCGGUUUCAGCUGACUUGACACCUACGUUGAUGGUUUGACUUGAUCCUUGUCCCACGUGACAUUAAAAAAAUAAAAAAUUAAAAUGAAAUAUAUGGGCCUAUUUGUCAAUAAAAUAAAAACAUAAAAAAUAUAGUUGGACCCAUACUUCCUCGACCUCACUGCUUCUCUCCUCUCUAUCUCCUUCCCAUCCAUGGAGCUGCAUCUCGCCGCCCUCUGCUUCCCCCGCCUCCACUUCCCCUGCCUACUUUCCUAAGGCCACCUCCACCACCACCGCCUCUGCUGCCUCCUCCUCCUCGUUGUCGUCGGCGGCAGAAGCCCUCAAGCCUUACAUGCAUCUCUCGCGGCUGAUGGAGGAGCAGCCCGUUGUAAACCACCAUAGGCUGCGAAAGGAGCUGGGUCCCGCCGCGCUCUCCUCCCUCUGCACGGGCAUCGAGACACUAGUCACCGAGGGGCGGCACCACAAGGCGCGUGAUGUGUUUCGCGGGGCCUAGGCUAGGGUGCCGUUCAUGUCGCUUUCGAGUUCACCGGAUAGAAAUGGAGCAAAAUUCACGAGAUUUAAUUCGAGAUUUCUAGGGCUUUUUUUGGGGAAAGAAGGGGAGAUCGAGGGAAUUCCAUAUUCAAUCAAUUUUGAGGGAGAGAAAACGCGUGGCUGGAUCGAGCGAAGCAGGCGGCGUCGGUCUCAGGUGUGCACAGGACUUCCAUUCGGAGGAGCAAGACAAUGACUAGCAGUGGGGCUGAAGCUGUCAGCGAGAUGGGAAGGAUGAGAUAGAGAGGAGAGAGAAUGGGUGAGGUGGAGGAAGUGGACACACUAUUUUUGUAUGUUUUUAUUUGACUAACAUAUGGGCCCAUAUAUUUAUUUAAAUUUUUAAAUUUUGAUUCUAAUACCACAUUAACGCUACAUGGGAUGAGGAUCAAGUCAAACCAUUCACAUAGACGCUAUGUUAGCUAAAACUGCCGUUUAAACCAUCUUGAGACCUUAUUUGUAAUGGUUUUCCGAGUUGAGAGACAGACCUUAUUUCAGUUAAGGGAUGAACUGCAAACUCGGCGACAAAUUGAGGGACUUGUUCCACUAGAAAAUCCAGUUCGAGUUCAUCCUUUCCCCAGGUUUCCAGCCUGUUGCAGCUCAGCUAUUUGGCCCACUCCGGCCCAUGGACACGAGGGUUUGGAAACCUGGGUCGCAGGCCGCAGCUGUCUUCUGGUAGAUUGGCCUGGUCACUGCUUGUGUAUUGUCCGGAGCCUGUCUUGCUUGGUCAACAGGACAUGUCAGGCACCGUGGUCUAUGCAACGAAAAUACAUUCAAAAAUUUCACUGUAAACUUUGCAUAAGGCAGGGCAAAUACAUUUUGAUUUAACUGUUUCUUUUUUAAAAAAUGUGUCAAUAAUAUAAAGUUUAAUCAGAACAAUAACGUCUAUCGUGAACAACACACGAGGUAACACUUCUAAUUAAUUACCAUUAUAGGGUUAUCAUUCUCAACCUUCAUCGACGAUGGUUAAGACAGCUUCUUAGCUUAAGAGCGAUAUGAACUUGACGGCGACGGCCACCGCGUUCUGCGCCGCCAGCGCCGCGAACACGCCGGCCUCGUUGGACUCCGCGGAGCCGCCGCCGGCGAGGUCGGAGAGCGACCGUAUGGCGAUGAACGGCGCCCCCUGCUGCGCCGCCACCAGCGCGACGGCGGCCGACUCCAUGUCGAUCGGCGUCACGCCCAGCCUGGACCGCAGGAACUGCCUGUACGCCGCGUUGUCCACGAACACGCUGGCGCUGCACCCGCGCUCCACGCGCGCCACCGCCGGCGCCCGCGCCAGGCACGUCGCCGGCGACGUCGCCGUCCCGGUGCGGUUGACGCAGCGCUCCAGCGGCAUCGCCUCCAGCUUCUGGGCGAGCUGGUAGUACCGGCCGUCGACGGGGACCCAGAACUCGUGGCGGCGAGACUCCGGCGUGCCGUCCGCCGGGAACACCUCCUCCGGCUGGUACCACACGCCGUUCAGCAGGUUGCCGCCGCCGCCGCCGGCGACGCCGUAGUCGGAGAAGUUGAGCGCCCCGUACUUCCUCGUGUAGUCGCCAUUGGACUCCAGCGCGAGCUCCUUCUCCGGCCCAUCGCCGUACCGCUGUGUCCGAAUUAAUUAAUGAACACCGAUCAAAUCACCAAAACCAAUUUGUUCUUGAUUUGGAUGAAAUUUGAUGAAAUUAAUUAAUCAAUCAUUCACCUGCCAGUUCCAGAGUCCGGUGUGCGCCCAGUAGCGGGGGACGGUGACGUCGCCGAUGUGGAGGUCGGGGUCGGCGUUGCCGGCGAUGCCGAAGUGGACGAUGCCCUCGACGUCGAAGAGGGUGAGGAGGAGCUGGGUGGUCACGCCGGAGUUGAGCUGCGUUCGUAUGAAGCCGCGGCAGUUGAUCAGGUUGGCACAAUGGAAUUAAUAAUUAAGGUAAUUGACACAAUCUACUCUAUGAUAGUUAUGACGCCGUUAAAUUCUAUCAUGUCUUAUUAAAAGUUUUAUGUAAAUAUAUAAGAUAUAAUUCGUACUUAAAGUACUUUAAGAGAUAAAAUAAUUUACAAUAAAAUACAUUAUAAUUACGUGAAUUUUUUUAAUAAAACAAAUGAUAAAAAUUGAUAAAAAAUUAGCAGUGUCAUCUAUUAAAAGACAGAGGUAGUAUAAGUAUACGGCUUAAUUAGGUAAUGAAAUUAAUGAAGGUGUACAAGUAUUUACCAUGCCGAGGCCUGUCAUGACGAUGAUCACCUUCUUCUCUCCUAUCGAUCCGAAGCGAAAUCUCCUUCCUACAUGGAAAGACAUGUGGUUUUGGUGAGAAAAAUAUUUAACCGAACUUGAUUGAUGUCGUUUUUUUUUUUUCUACUACAGAAAGAACAACUUGAUGGGUAUUGGUUUGGGGGUGCUAAUGGGCCUGAGUUUGAGGCAGCCCAGCUGGCAGUCUUGGUUUGGGCUAUAAAUUAAGCUCAAGCCUGGUGCAUAAUUCAAAAUCUUGGCAAAAAAAAGGAGAGAAAAUCUGUAAUGUGGAAAUUUAUGAUCCACUUGAAAUUCUUCAAUUCAAAUUGGGAUUUUGAUGAAAAUUUAAAAAUAAAAUUUAAUUUUCGUGGAUUUUGAUGCAAAUUUGUUCAAAGUUUAAAUAAAAGUUUAAUUUCGCUGGUCUGUGUAAUCUUUUGAGUUUAGGUUGAAGGGGCAUUUGCAGCUCUGUGCGUGUUAGCAUAUAUACAGCCAUGCUGCAGGUGCGUCGACUCAUGUACUACUCGUAGAAAAAGAUCGAUACUACUACUACUAAUUGAUGGUGAUGAACCACUAAUUUUAUUUUGUAAAUCUGGCGAUCAAUUUAUUCAUCAAGAUUGUGAGAGAGUCGCAAACAAGCAGUUGUGACUACUUGCAUUUAUAUACGUACGUACACAGCUUAUCAUAAUCUGUUUGAUCUUCAAGCUGGUCAAUGGUAUGCGUUCGUACACGCCAUGCAUGGCCUAAACGAGUUGAAAUUAAACCCGACGAUUAGUAGAGGAAACGAAGUAGAAGAGUAGUACUGUAGUAGUAAAAGCUUAGCAACUUGGCCACAUGGCUAGCUAGGUAGGUACACGUCGUCAACUUCUCAUCUUUUGACAUAUAAAAGUCUAUACAAAUACUCCUCCGUCUAAAAAAAAGUCAAACCAUGUAUUUCCGUGUACAACUUUAACUGUCCGUCUUAAUAAAAUUUUUUUAUAAUUCGUAUUUUCAUUAGUGUUAGAUGAUAAAACAUGAUUAAUAUUUUAUGUGUGGCUUGUCUUUUUAAUUUUUUUCAUAUUUUUUUCAAAUAAGACGGACAAGUCAAACGUUGGGCACGGAAAUUAGGGUUUGUCUUUUUUUUUUUUUGGUUGUAGAGAGUAAUCUAGAUACUGUUUUAACGUGUUUCUUUAGUCAUAAGUUAACAUAUAUUUUGAAGUGGAUAUACUAAUUAACACAUACUUCCUCUUCUCAUCUUUUGACAUAUAAAAGUCUAUACAAAUACUCCUCCGUCUAAAAAAAGGCAAAUCUUGUAUUUCCGUGUCCAACUUUAACUGUCCGUCUUAAUAAAAUUUUUUUAUAAUUUGUAUUUUCAUUUGUGUUAGAUGAUAAAACAUGAUUAAUAUUUUAUGCGUGACUUGUCUUUUUAAUUUUUUUCAUAUUUUUUUCAAAUAAGACGGACGGUCAAACGUUGGACACGAAAAUCAGGGUUUGUCUUUUUUUUAAUGUAGGGAGUAAUCUAGAUACUGUUGUAACGUGUUUCUUUAGUUCUAAGUUAACAUAUAUUUUGAAGUGGAUAUACUAAUUAACACAUACUUCCUUCGUCUAAAAAAUAAUUUAAAACUGGAUGUGACAUCUUAGUAUAACGAAUCUAAACACAUGUAUGUUUAAAUUUAUUGCAUUAGAAUAUGUCAUAUCCAGUAUUAUGCUGGUUUUUUUUUAUGCUACAAGUAUUAAUGAUUGAGCUGAUCCUGACGACGUCGCCCACAGUAAUCAAUCAUUUAAAUAAUCCUACCGUACGUUACAUGCAUGUGUAGCAAGUUGAAUAUGGUAGAGAAUAAAUCACAACUGACCGAUCGAAUGAGGGGUGUUUUUUUUUCCUUAAUGUAUGUGUUAAUUGUGCAUGCGCAAGUAUGGGAUGACUAAUAUACAUGCACAUCCCUAUAUGCAUCCAUUGGUUUGGAUUAAAUAAACAUACGUAUUCAACCCAUUUUUAACAAUAGUAUAAUUUUUAUUUGCCUUGUAACUUGCGUGUUAGAUAUAUCUUCUCAAAAAAUUGAAUUGAAAUAUUCAAAGAGAAAUUAAUGGUAAAAUUUUUAAAUAUGUUGACUACACGUAUUAUUAUAAAACAUCGUUACUUAUUUGUGGAGUAUUAUCUUCUUGAAAAUUAAAUAUAGUACGAUCUCAAAUCCCACUGGUUCUGACUCAUAUUGUAUAAGCAUAUAUAUGCAGCAGUGAUAUCACGUGCAAUUCUUUUAGUAGUAGUUCAUUUGCAGAAGAUUUGUUUGAACAACAUGGAAUUAAUUCGUAAAGCGAUUGUUUGGAAAAGGAAAUGCGUGAAGAAAUCUACAACACGUAUGUCCGCAGACCGCAGUUUUAAUCCAACAUAAAAAAUCGUACAUGCUACGUGUUUGUUCGAUAUAGAGUACAGAAGAGUCGUUCCCUACACGAUUAUCCAAUCAAGAACAAUACGACAUACUUUUCCGAUGUGUUUGUUGUAUAAUUAGGUUGCUCUCGAGAGAACUAUUGAAAAGUCUAUGUUUUUUCGCACAACCUUCCCAAAACCGUGAAAUGGUACGUUAUACGAAAGUUAUUUUUUUAAAAAAUAUUAAUCUAUAUUUUUAAGUUUAAAAUAAUUAAUACUCAAUUUGUCAUGUGUUAGCUAAUGACUCAUCUCGUUUUACGUAUGUUCUCAAUAUUCUCACUUUCCUCUCUCAAACACGACGUUAAUUAAGGUUUAUUUAUCAGACAUUCGCAUUUGGCAACCUGUUAAUUCUUGCAUAAAUAUAUGGUUCUAUCUCUCACUUUUUAAACGAAAUCUGAUCGGGUGAAAAAAUUUACAGGAUUAUAUAUGAGAUAUUCCGGGACCUAUAAUAUCGACAUGUAUAUCCGUUUUUUAUAGUGAAUGUUUCAGUCUACCUAUGUUUUCCAUUCCUCCAAACAUCAAGCGGCUAACUGUGGUUCUCAAAAAAAAAAAAGAAGCGGCUAACUGUCUAGGUACAAACAUUCAGGCUCCUGUGCCAGAAUGAUGGUGGUCAUGCAAGUUUUCACCAAUUUUAAGAUGGAGAUAUAUAGUAAUAGGAUUAAGUGUUGAAUAAUAAUGUCUUUUCACCAUAUAUAUAGUAAUAGGGUUAAGUGUUGAUGCAACUCAAACAUCUACAGGUUUCAUUCACGCAAAUAUUUGAGUUGCAAACUUUUUAAUUGGUUAUAGCUUCUACCAAAACAAACGCUGAGUUUUUGGGGGAGUACUCCCAAAAAAGCAAGCAUCUACACUAAAGGAAUUACAUAAUCAAACAAGGGUAUGGUAAUACCUUCGUCCCGAUAGGUAUGUCUAGAUUCCUCAAUAGGUAUGUUCAGAUUUGUAGUUUACAAUGUGUCUAAUUUUAUUUUAGUUACUAUACAUUUUGCGUAAUUCCAAGAAACAGAGUACAAAUUAAUUAGUUUAUGCGUGUAUGCGUACACGAGUGUGUGCCUAUAGGCAUGCAUGCAAGUGGGUAGUCCCACUAUCAAAAAAAAAACCCGCUUGCAUGCUAGUCUAUUUUUUUUUGCAUGAUAUAUAGUACGAAGAAAAAAUAAACUAGAAGUGGGAUAAGCGGGGAAAAAGCGCGCUUGUCCGCCCCUCUUGUAUCCCUAUGUGCCUACUCAUCGUUUACUAACUAAUGUAGGCGUGAUGUAUAUAGUUCGUAUGUAUACCUGCGACGUCGAGGUAUGGCAGCUUCUUGGCCGGCGAGAAGGCCGGCGAGCGGAGGAGCGGCUCCAUCUCGAACCCGUUGGGCACCACCACGCCCAGGUACGGGCCCCGCCGGUUCACUUGCCGGACGCCCCGCGCCGCGUCCGCCGCCACGGCCGCCGCCUCCGCCGCCACAGCAGCGGCCGCCGCCGCGACCACCAACAGCAAAGCCAGCGUCGUCGUCGUCUUCGCCGGCGACGACGACGACCGAGCAGCCAUGUCGUUAAUUAAUUAACCUUGAGCUAAUGAACUAAGCUAAUAACGCGUAUGCGUAUAACGUGACGAAUCGAAAUAGCUCUAGCAAUCGAUCAUACAAGUCUCACACAAGAUGUGUGUGUGCGCGCGUGUGUGGGAAGAACGAGAUGAAGAGAGACAGGAGAAUGGUAGGGUUUAUAUAUAGAGCUAGGAAACAGGAAGAGGAUUUGAUUUGAGUCAGAGCUCAAAAAGAACAAUCGUGCUGGCCAUCUCCAAUUAAAUACUCCUAUUUAGCUUCCAGGACAAGAUUACAUGAAUGGAAUCAAUGCAAUUACACUAAAAGAAAUAACAGAGGGGUUUCUAUAGAUAUAUAUAUCCGGUAGCGUAUCCUGUGCACAUGCUCACCUUGGUGCACUCAUGCACUCACGCGACAUGGGACCUUCGAUCUCCAUCGGACGGAUAUAAGAUGAGAGAGUCUUCUUUUUACAAAAUAACCCUUCGAUUCAUCUUCUUGUCUCCCGUUCAACCCCUUUCCCCAAAUCUAUCCCCUCUGUGAGGCGUCCAUGGCAGCUUUGAAUCUCUGAAAAAUAAAACAAUGCUCGACGGAGAUGGCCGCUAGAAAUUAAGAUUAAUCAAGAUUCCAGCAUGCAGCCGUCAAAUCCUUGCUCAACGAUAUGUAUGAUCUCAACCUCAGGAUCUUUUGCAUGAUAUAUAUGGCAUGCCAAAAUUUCGAAUCAAACAAGAAAUUCCGAUCGGAUAUGCCAUCGAUGCACACAUCUGCAACCCCCGGGCAAAGACUCAUCCAUUCCAUCCCAUGGGCAAGAACUCUUCUCUCUACAGAGUCAGGUACACUGCGCCGCAGCUGCUCCAUCGGCCGAACACCAUGGCCGUCGCCCUGGACACGCUCGCCCGCGCAUCGUCCCUCUCCAACAAGCUGGACAACCACACGCACCUUGAGGCGUGACAUGCCACUGGCCGCGCCGCCGCGCUCUGGAUGUGAUAUCUCUGUCGCCAAACAUGGCUUAAUUUGAGCCGCCAUUGACGUCAGAUAGAGAUUUUGGGGAAUACAUCUUGGUAAGGACCCAACACGGGAAGACAAAAGGAAUCAAGGGUCUAUUUACAAAUUUACCCGUGUAUGUGCGGGUGGUUUUAUGAAAAAACGUCCCUUUGCAUUACAUCCGUCCGAUGGAGAUUGAAGGUCCCAUGUCGCGUGAGUGCACGAAUGCACCAAGGUGAGUGGGUACACAGGAUACGAUGUCUAUAUAUCCCCAAUCAACAAAUAUAGAAAAUACUUCAUCCGUCCUAAUAUAUAGUAAUAUAGAACGUGUCAUUAUGAAUUUAAACAUGUAUCCAUGUAUCUAUAUGAAGAUAUUGCUGAAACGAAGGUAAUAGGAACGUAGGAUAUAUGUUAUAGUAUUUGACAUAUAGGCCUGCAGCGUUGUCAAGUGGCAAUGCAAUUACUAUAUGAUUCAGCGCUGAGCAAUAUGAACCAAUUAACCAGAUGGCCCGUCCACGUACGUAAGCGUAACUACAGCUAACGUGCCAGUUUGAUUAACGAUUAUAUUUGCUGACCAAUACAUUGUGCGGGAGAGGGCGCACGUUUUUGUACACACGUCAAAAAUGGGCGCAUGGUUUUAGACUGACUUGGAAUAGUAUCCAUCAUAUCGCGUGCUGCUUGCCACUUGAGAUGUGUGUGGUCAUGAACUUGACUGGACUUUAAUUUGCAUGGACCAAAUUAAGCUACAGUACUUGAUCGAGUACGGAAAAUUAAGGAAAGCUUCUUAUCUUGUUCUUAUUUUUUUUUCCUUUGAGACAAGAGACUUGUAUCCUUACUUGAACGAGAGUACAAGACGAAAUGGGCAAGGAUCCAACUUGUAUUAUUUGAUUGAGAGUACACGGCGAAAUGGGCCUUCAAAGUUUGCACGUGGUGAGAGCCGGGUGCACGUGGUAUGUCUGUGUGUGCACUAGCCAUAGGCUUAAAACGAGAGGGCUGCCAGUGCGCAGUAUUGUGUCCGGUUUUAACUGAGGUGGCGCCUACGUGACUAAUUUUAACUAGGUCUUUGUCCAACGUGUCAUUGGCGUGUAUGUGGGCGCCAAAAUGAGCCACGUAGGCGCCACCUCGGCCAAAACCGGACACAAUACUGCCGAGGGCCCUUAUUUAAAUGGUUCCGUAAGUUGGGGGACCCGUCGUACCAGGUUUUGCAACGAAGGGACGAAAAUUGGACUGGACGACAAAUAAAGGGACCCAAAGUGAACUUAUUCCUUUUUGGCCAUGAGGGGGGAGGUCUAUUAGCUAUAUGGGCUGGUCUCCUUUCACCUGCCCCAACCUGGCCGAUUGGAAUAAGUUCACCGAAGGUCCCUCAACUUAACAGUGAGAUUUUUUGUGGUCCCUUAACCACAAAACUAGAAAUGUGUAUCUCCUAAACUCACAUAAACUGUGUACUCAAGGUCCUAUUGCAGUAUUAUUAACGACCAAAUUUGGUAAGAUAUGAAUCAGGUUCGGUAUUGGAAUCAAAGUGGAUUCGGCAAAGAGUUAGAUUCGAAGAACAGAGUAUGCAUCGGCUGAAAUGGACCGGACAGAGGACAGCCGAUACAUUCGACAGCCGAUACAGCCGAUUCCGAUGAAGAUAGUUGUAAAACUGCUUCUAGAAUCGAUCAACGUGCUUCACAAGGAUUGCCACGAUGGAGAAAAGCUCUUAGAAAGGCAAUUGUAUCAUCCAUUAAUUAGGAUAUUUUGAAUAGUUUUUUUAGAGAUAUGUUUGGGCAAAAGUCUGCCGUAAAGACUUAUGUGUAUCUUAGAGUUUGUUAGAGAUAAGAGUCGUGUCCGGCAAGGAUAUAUCACGUAUCUUGGGUAUAAAUAUGACCCAAAUCCAUGUAAACAGCAACACACAGUUCAAUAACACUUUCGGUGCAUCGUCACCCUUUUACUUUCGUUCUAUUUCGACGAGUUCUUGCUUUCGGGUUGAGUUGCAUCGGUUUCGAUCUUCAACUAGAGGUAAACUUGUCACUAUGGCUUGCAUUCUCGUGAUUAGUGCUUCCAUCUUUAUGACACUCUAAUCUUGUUUAUGUUAUUCGUCGAGUUAUCAUAUACACUUUAUAAUCUUUAUUAGUUGUGUUAUAUAACUUGCAAUCGACUGGUUUUACUGUCAGAAAGUAGCCAAUAGAGUUAGAUCUCGUUAUUAAUCUAGAUUAUAUCGUGUAUCUACCAUCUCUUAAAGAUUUUCAUUAUCUUGUUUAGAUCUUACAGUUAUCUUUAUGAUUAAUGCUACAUCGGUUGAGUUCGAUCUAUUAAGUUCUAUCUAUAAUUGUGAUAUCUAGCCUGUUUCAUGAUCAUCAAUAGAGAUAGUAUCAGAGUUUCAGCCGAUCUUACCUGAUUUAGCUACUUUUAUCUUAUAAACUUGACUGUUAUGCUAGAUCUGCCCUUUAUAUUAAGAUCUUAUUGCAUUAAAGUAUAUUAGGCUUUCUGUUUGAUACAUUUUGCUUGUUUUGAUAUCUUAAUAUAGAGUGGUAUCGGAGUAUUAGCCGAUACAUAUUAUAUCUAUCUGAUCAGGUAUGCUAUAAACGUUCAUAUAGUCAUAAUCUUAAUGUACAUUUAGACUUAAGUGAUUUAUACUGUCUCGACAUGGCGUUUGAUCUAUCCCAAUCACUUAGUUUAAGUAUACAUCGAGAGAAAGAUUAUAUAUCGUUAAUAUCUAUAGCCGAUCAAGUAGAUUUAGUUUUAUAUUGCUUUGUUUCUCGUUGCCGAUCUAAUGCCAAUAUCAUCGGCUUAGUGAUUGAUGAUAUGUCAUUAGCUCAUAGCCGAUCGGCUAUCGUUUAUGGAUUUAACCUCGUUUUCUUGUCUUUUAUUCUUGUUGAUUGUAGGAUCAAAUCAAUUGGCACGCUCACGAACCUAAAAACAAGAUUUUGGACCUACACAGGAGUUAAGCAGAUCUUCCAGACCAGCGUGUGUUUUUCGCAUCAACAAAUAUAUAUGGGUGGUUUCGCUGACGUGGAAUCCUAAUCAGAAAAAAAAUUAAAAAAAGUACGUGGAGCCCAUAUGUCAGCUGCACGUUCUCUUUUCUUCUCCUUAGAUCUCUUCUCUCUUCUCUCUUCUCUUCUUCAACAAGAAGGUGGGCAUGGAAGCAUGCUCGGGUCCCGCGAAGUGAAGAAGGCCGGACCAGCCGCAGCGCCGGCGGCGACUUCACCAUCGUCGUCGUUUGGCUUGUGGAGUUGCUCUUCCCGCUGCCGACGCUCAUGUCCUAGCUCCGCCGACGACGCGCGGCUCAGCGGCCGCUUGUUGCUGUCCCAGCGCUGGACAGCCUCCGCGUUCGCAUGCGUUGGCGUGGCAGAGGUUCGCGCUGCUAGGGCUAGACGAUGAAGCUGCCUAACUGCCGGCUUUCUUGUCUGCGUCCCACCUCUCAACGGCGUCAGCUCGACCAGGCUUGGGAUCAGAGGCCGGCCACACGCGGAAGGAGGCGUGGAGGAUGAUGAGGCACGGCGUCGGGAGCAACGGCAACAUCUGGCUCCUCGGCGGGGUCAAGAGCAAUGCCGGCAACAUGCUUGUCGGUGCGUCAGGCGCCGCAGCGCCGGGAAAACCGCUGUCACCAUGACCGCCCUCGCCCAUCGCCGCUCCGCCCGCUGCCCGCAUCCGCGCUCGCCCAUCACGGCUCCGCCCGCCGCCGGUCUCCCUCACUGAAGAAGAGAAGAGAGAAAAGAGAAGAGAAGGAAGAAAAGAGAAUGUGCAGCUGACAUGUAGGCCCUACGUACUUUUUUUUAUUUUUUUUUUCUAACUAGGAUACCACAUUAGUGAAACCAUCCAUAUAUACUGCCAUAGGACCUUGAGUGCACGGUUUGUGUGAGUUUAGAGGUACACAUUUCUGAUUUUGUGGUUAAGGGAUCUUGAAAAAUCUCAAUGUUAAGUUGAGGGACCUCCGGUGAACUUAUUCUUGGCCGAUUAGCCGGAAGCCCGGGACAGCCCAAGCCAAGCAGGCCGACCUGCAACCCAGCAGUCACAUGGACAUGGCCGAAGCCAUUAACUUGAGGCCCAGCUAAUCGGCACAAGGUGGCUAACGUUCAUACUACCCAGCUAUCUAUAACGUCCUCUGCAUUUUUUUCUCUUUCCAAACAAAAUAUAACUCCCGGCCUAUGUACAUAGACAUAUCCUGUGCACAUAAAUUUUGCAUGCACAUCAACUAACAAAUAUUAUCGAAAAUUGUAGAAAAAAAAUGUGCAUAUGCUUUUAAUAGUAAUACACCGAUAUGCAAAGUUUUAGCAUCAAAUUCAUUAUAUAUUAGCUGUAAAAAUAUUUUCUGAUAAUUUUAAGGUUAUAAAUUUGUCAAAAUUUUAUAUUUUUCCCUACGCAUGAUGAAUUUAAAGAUAAGGCUCUCAUCUUUUGGCCCAAUCAACAUAUGCCAAUGCCAAAAUUUAAAUUUUUGAACUUUAUUUUGAAGUUGUUUUUUUAAUCAUAGUUUCUUUUAAACAUUGUCAUUUAAGUCGCUAUGAGCAUAACUGUAACAGUUUUAAUCACAAAUUAUAUUUUUUCACUAAUACGACAAAUGGUGUGUUUUCCACAUAUAGCCAUCAAAUGAGGCCAUAAGAUUUUACGCAUAGAUGUAAUACUAUUAAUAAUACAUGUAAAAUACCUUCUAGAAAUUUCUUUGAUAUUUUGAUAGUUGGUGUGCACAGUGUGUACACGUGAAACCUUAUGUGCAUAGGAUACGAUCCAUACUUAUGAACAUUAGUAUUCAAAACCUAGUGAAUGAAGUCAUGCACUCAUAAGUCAUAACUCUACUAUCAUACCCAAUGGUGCUUCUCCAGUAUUCCUAAAAAAAAUCAAGAAGACGUUUCGUUUGAUUUAAAUUAUUAGUGGAUUAUUGCCACGAAUUAUCUACUUGAUUAUAGGGAUAAAUUAAAUAUUUUAUUAAAUAAAUUUAAUAAAUAGUUUAUGGCAAGUGUUCCAAGUAAUAAAUCAAGCGAAUUUUUUUUGCAUAACAUAUUUUUUCCAAAGCGUUGGACAAAUAAAUAAUUAAAAAGAACAUCAACUAAAGUGGUACAAUCAAUUGCAGAAUAUUUGAAAGAAUUAGCUAGCAGUCUAGCAUGUUUGCUGCUAAUUGAGCAUCAAGUCAUCAACCAAUAGAAAUUGGGCUGCACAAUUAUCUUUGGAUUAAUAGAAUCAACCUGCUCACAACAAAUUGCAAGCUCUGAACUAUCAAGAGCUAUAGGUAGCAGUAAAUUGCUGAACUGAGCAUCACGACUCAUGGUCAUGGGGAGUUUCAGAAUAGAGCACAGAAAAUUUCUUGGCAAUCUAGAGACAGUACAAAAAGGUGAUCACGGCCUGUUAUGUUCUUCCAUGGAUUGCAGCAACGUUAUUUCAAAUUUUAGGCGUUCAAAAUCAACAAUUGGCACAGAAUGUUCAGAACUACGUUCAGAGCUCUGAACAUUAGCACAAUAUUUUAGUGUUUUGAGCAUAUACACAUUGCGCUCUUACCUCUGAAUAUUUGCAGCUAUUUUACCCACUGGUUUGCAUUGACACUUCAGUGACAUGCCGUUCUAUUUCAAGAAGCAUGGCUACGUGAGUACGUGUGCAUAGGAACAAGCAAAUUGAGGAUAUGUACACUGGUGGAGAAACCAUCUUUCGUCGGUCGGCCGAUUUCCACAAUAGUCCCGGAUGCAAUAAAAACCGGGGCUAAAGAUGAUCUUUAGUCCCGGUUCAAAAGGGUAACGGGCAUAUUUGAUCUUUAGUCCCGGUUUGUGUUACCAACCGGGACUAAAGAUCAUCUUUAGUCCCGGUUCGAAUGCUGUCAGGACCUGUCAGGCCCUCCCGGGAUCUUUAGUCCCGGUUGGUAACACCAACCGGGACUAAAGAUCUUAACUUUAGUCCCGGUUGGUAAUACCAACCGGGACUAAAGAUCCCGGUGAUCUUUAGCCCCGGUUGGUGCUACCAACCGGGACUAAAGAUCUUAACUUUAGUCCCGGUUGGUAAUACCAACCGGGACUAAUGAUCCCGGUGAUCUUUAGCCCCGGUUGGUGCUACCAACCGGGACUAAAGUCCCACCCCUAUAUAUAUGUCUUCUUCCUCCUCCAGCUGCCCGAGCAAGCUUCAAAAUUACUUCAAAAAAGAGGGGAGGUCAUGCCAAAAUUUCUAUUGAAUUUAUUUUGGUGAUUACAUACAAAUCGGAGGUGCCUAAAAGGUUUGCAACUUCAUCCUCCAAUGUUUUUUUUGUCAUACUACAUUUGCACCUAUGUUUUGCACACUUUUUUUUGUCUCCAAAAUUUAGUUGUAAGUUGAUGAGAGAGAAAAUGUGUGUGGGGAAGAAAGAAUAUAUAGAAAUUUAGUUCAUUUGCUAAACAAGGUUUUAUAAAAUAGUUGAGAAGGAAAACUCUAGUGAAAGUUAAUCUUAAAUAAUAGAAAACAAAUUAAAAUGAAAAUUAAAAGAAGUAAAACACAUUAAAAUUAGUUUAAAACUUUACAAAUAGUUUUUAAGAAUUAUUUGGUGUAAUAUUUUAUGAUUUUUGUAUGAAUAAAGAUAUCUUAUAAUUAUUGUAUGACUGUCAUUAUUGUAAGAAUAAUUAUUUGUGUGCGGUUUUUUUUGACUCAUGUAGAUGGAUCGGCAAUGGAUGUACGCUGACCGGCGGUCCAAAGAGUUUAUUGACGGCGUGCACUAUUUUUUGAGAGUGGCCGAAGCUAACAGGCAAAGGGGUUUUAUUUGUUGUCCAUGCAAUAAGUGUAAGAAUCAGAAGGAGUAUUCUGCAUCCAGGACUAUUCAUUUCCACUUGUUUGAGUCGGGGUUCAUGCCAAGCUAUAAUUGUUGGACAUCCCACGGAGAGCAAGGUGUUGAAAUGGAAGAAGAUGAAGUGGAAGACGACAAUAUUCCGGACUUUGCUCAGUAUAUUGGAUUUGAAGGAAAUCAAACGGGCGAGGAGGAAAUAGCUGCUGAUGGUAACGACGUUGCGGAUGAUCUUGGUCAGAUGUUGCAGGACGCCAGGGAGGACUGCGAAAGUGAAAAGGAGGCCCAUAAAUUGGACAAGAUGUUGGAGGACCACAGAACUUCGUUGUACCCAGGUUGCGAGCAGGGGCACAAAAAGUUGGAUACCACUCUGGAGUUGUUGCAAUGGAAGGCAAAAAAUGGGGUUAGUGACAAGGCAUUUGGCGAUUUAUUGAAACUCGUCAAGAACAUUCUUCCGGGGGGAAACAAAUUGCCCGAGACAACGUACGAGGCUAAGAAGAUAGUCUGCCCGUUAGGACUGGAAGUUCAUAAGAUUCACGCAUGUCCGAACGAUUGUAUCCUAUAUCGCGGUGAGGAGUAUGAGAACCUAGAAGCAUGCCCUGUUUGCAAAGCACUACGAUACAAGAUUAGACGGGACGAUCCAGGAGAAGUUGACGGGCAGCUAACAAAGAAGAGAAUUCCUGCUAAGGUGAUGUGGUAUUUCCCUAUAAUACCACGGCUAAGGCGUUUGUUCAGGAACAAGGGGAAUGCUAGAAUGUUGCGAUGGCACGCUGAAGAGCGUCAACAGGACGGGAUGCUGAGACACCCCGCCGAUGGUUCGCAGUGGCGAAACAUCGACAGAAAAUUUAAAGAAUUUGGAAAGGACGCACGAAACAUACGGUUUGGUUUGAGUACGGAUGGCAUGAAUCCUUUUGGAGAGAUGAGCAGCGGCCAUAGCACUUGGCCCGUUACGAUGUGUAUCUACAACCUCCCCCCCUGGCUAUGCAUGAAGAGGAAGUACAUAAUGAUGCUGAUUAUUAUUCAAGGCCCCAAGCAACCUGGUAACGACAUCGACGUGUACCUAAGACCACUGGUCGAAGAUCUUAAACAGUUGUGGAAGAAGGAAGGUGUCCCCGUGUGGGACGAGGACAAACAGGAGGAGUUUAACCUACGAGCGCUGCUGUUCGUAACCAUCAACGAUUGGCCUGCACUUAGCAACCUAUCCGGACAGUCCAACAAGGGGUACAAGGCUUGCACUCACUGUAUGGAUGAAACAGAAAGUACGUAUCUUAAGCACUGUAGGAAGGUUGUAUACAUGGGUCAUCGUCGAUUCCUUGCAGCAAACCACCCGGUACGGAAGAAAGGCAAGCACUUCGAACAUAAGGCCGACCACCGUACGAAGCCUAAACAUCGCAGCGGGAAAACAGUGUUUGCUAUGGUUAAAGAUCUUAAAGUAGUGUUCGGAAAGGGGCCUGGAAGCCAGCAUAUAGAGAGCGAAGAUGGUCACGCGGCGAUGUGGAAAAAGAACUCUAUAUUUUGGGAGUUACCAUAUUGGGAAUUCUUGACGUACGCCACGCAAUCGACGUGAUGCACCUCACUAAGAACCUUUGCGUAAACCUUCUUGGCUUCCUAGGUGUAUACGGAAAGUCGAAAGAUACACUGGAAGCACGUAAUGAUCUGAAGCAUAUGGAACAACGCGGCGACCUUCACCCGGAACCAAAGGAGAAAGGAAGCCAUUACUUGAGUCCAGCCAGCUACACUCUUAGCAAGGCAGAGAAGGAAAGUAUGUUUGAAUGCUUGGAGAGCAUAAAGGUACCGUCUGGAUACUCCACGAAUAUCAAGCGAAUAAUAAGCACGAAGGAGAAGAAGUUCACAAACCUAAAGUCUCAUGACUGUCACGUGUUGAUGACACAACUGUUACCAGUUGUAAUAAGGGGUAUCCUUCCAGACAAUGUCCGGGCAACAAUAACAAAGCUAUGUGCAUUCAUGAACGCAAUUUCGCAGAAGGUCAUCGAUCCAGAUAGAUUAGAAGCCCUUCAGAAUGAAGUGGUGCAAUGUCUCGUCAGUUUUGAGUUGAUAUUUCCACCUUCAUUUUUCAAUAUAAUGACGCAUCUGCUUUGUCACCUUGUGAAAGAGAUCCGUAUUCUCGGGCCUAUGUACCUACACAACAUGUUUCCUUUCGAGAGGUACAUGGGCGUUCUGAAGAAGUAUGUUCGUAACCGUGCUCGUCCAGAGGCAAGCAUCGCCAAGGGUUAUGGAACAGAGGAGGUCAUCGAAUUUUGCGUAGAAUUUAUCGAAGACCUUCGCCCAAUCGGGGUACCUGAAUCACGCCAUGAAGGGAGACUACGGGGAAAGGGAACUCUCGGAAGGAAAGCAAUAACGACGGUAGACAACAAUUUAUUCCGUAAAGCCCAUUUCACUGUUCUGCAAAACUCUUCAUUGGUAGCUCCUUACAUCGAGGAGCACUUGGCUCUAGUUCGCGCCAGGAACAUCGGUAAGUCCGAUGCAUGGAUUACACGGCAUCACAUUGAUACUUUCCCCGCAUGGCUACGACAACAUCUCAUGGGUAACGAGUCGAUCAACCAACAACUUGCCUUCCUGGCGAGGGGACCGUCUGGGUCGAUCGCGACAUUCCAGGGAUAUGAGAUCAAUGGGUACACAUUCUACACGAGAGCCCAAGACAUGAAGAGCACGAACCAAAACAGCGCUGUUCGUGUCGAUGCCAUGGGACACGAUGGAACAACUGCCACGUAUUACGGUGCCAUCGAGGACAUAUGGGAACUUGACUAUGGUCCUCUCAAGGUUCCUCUGUUCCGGUGCCAAUGGGUUAGGUUGACUGGUGGAGGCGUAAUGAUUGAUGACAGUGGGAUGACAACUGUUGACCUUAACAAGGUUGGAUACUCGGACGAACCUUUUGUCCUUGCCAAUGAUGUAACGCAAGUCUUUUUCGUGAAGGACAUGUCUAGCAAAGGAAAGAAGGGCAGAGGGCCUGAUGAGCCUAAGCGUCAAGUGGUUCUCCCAGGCAAAAGAAAAAUCGUCGGAGUUGAGGACAAGACUGACGAGGAUUACGAUCAGUUGGAUGGGCAACCCCCUUUCACGGUGACGAUUGACCCUAGCAUCCUCCUAUCAAAUGAAGACACCCCUUACUCUCGCAGCGAUCACAAGGAGGGAACAAUAGUGAGGAGAAAGUACGUGCCGUAAUUAUUGUGUACACGAUGUAAACUAUUUUGGAUGUAUUGAUUAUCUAUAUAAAUCAAUUGAUGUAUGGCAUAUGUUAAUUACGCACGAUUAUUAGAGGUUUCAACAAGUUUAAAUCAUGUAUAUGCUAGUUAUAUGUGAUACUUACAAUUUUUAAAAGUUUUAAAUCACACAGGUGGCAAUUUCAUAUGUAUGUUAAUUAGAGUUUUUAACAUUUAAUUUACUAGCAUUCAUAUGCUAAUUAUAAUUGACUAGAGGAUUUUUAAAAGUUUUAAAUCACGCAAGUGGCAAUUUCAUAUGUUAAUUAGAGUUUUUAACAUUUAAUUUACUAUCAUUCAUAUGCUAAUUAUAAUUGACUGGAGAAUUUUUAAAAGUAUUAAAUUUAAUAUAUUUUUAAAACUAUCAUUCAUAUAUUAGAGUUUUUCACAAUUUAAUUUACUAUCUUUCAUAUGCUACUUAUAUAUGACUAUUCGAAUUUUUAAAAGGUUAAAAUCAUGCAUGUGGCAUUUACAUAUGUUAAUUAGAGUUUUUAGCAUUUAAUUUAAUAUAAUUCCUACGCUAAGUACAUAUGAUGAUUACAAUUUUUAUUAAUUUUAAAUCAUGCAGUAUGUACAUACAUAUCUUAAUUAGAGUUUUUACCAAUAUAAUAAUAUCAUUCAUAUAUAUGCUAAGUAUAUAUGAUUAUUGGAAUUUUUAUUAAUUAUAUUUGCUUAUUACGAUUUAUCCACUUAAUUUAUUACAGCCAAAAAUAAUUUUUCGAAGUAAUUGUCAUUAAUCUUUGUACUUUAAAUAAUGUUAAUGCAUUAACUUCUAUUUUAUAAACACAUAUGUAAGCGAAAAUCAUAUGCAGUGCUAUAAUUUUUAGUCCCGGUUCUUAACCCUAACCGGGUUUAAAAAGAAUUUCGAAAUAGCGGGAAAAGAUAUUUACUCCCGGUUGUUGAGAACAACCGGGAGUAAAGAUCUAGGGGUAUAUAUAUUCCCGGUGCGCCCUCGUCUUCUUCACCAACACUUAAAUGUUUUCGGCCGAUCGAUCUCUCUCGGCCUCUCUCCUUCGCCGCCACUGCCUAGGGCAAAUCCCCGCGCCGACGCCGCCGUAUCUCGCCGUCGUCUCGAGCUCGUCGUCCUCGCCGCCGCCUCCGCCUCCUCCGCUGCCGCCGCAUCUCUGGGGUGAGAGCCGCCGCCGCCAGAUCUCCCUUCAUGCAUCUCGAUCUCUCCGAUCUCGAUCUCUCUCCGUCGCGCCGCCCGCCACGAGACGCCGCGCCACGACGACGACGCGCCACGCCGCCGCCUUCGACGCCGCGCAACGCCGCCGCCGCAUGCCAACGCCACGCCGCCGCCGCCGUCACCACGCCGCCGCCGCCUUCGCCACGCCGCCGCCGCCACGCCACGCCACGCCACCGCCGCCACGCCACGCCGCUGCCGCCACGGCCCCACAACGCCACGCCGCCGCCGCCGUCACCACGCCGCCGCGCCAACCGCCGCCCCGAUGCCGCCACACCGCCGUUAACGAACGAGAACGAGAACGAUCGAACGAACGAGAGCGAGAACGAACACGUCAACAUACGUUGCCGCGACAACGUGAACGAGAACGAGAACGAUCGAACGAACGAGAGCGAGAACGAGAACGAUCGAACGAAGACAAGCGAGAACGAGGGAACGAACGUGAAUGAGAACAAGCGAACGAACGUGAAUGAGAACGAGCGAACGAACGUGAACGAGCUAGGGAACGUGAACGAGCGAACGAACGAGGACGAACGUUAACGUGAAAUGCAAUAUAUAUAUAUAUAUAUAUAUAUAUAUAUAUAUAUGUAUAUAUAUGUAUAUAUAUGUAUAUAUAUGUAUAUAUGUUACUUCGCAUUUAUCCUAAUACAUUUUUUUGUAUCUUGCAGAAAAGACGUGUUGUCGGAGUCGUCCGUCAAGCCUGAGUGGAAGAGCUAGCCCUAGAAGGAAUUGGAGCAGGCAAGUGACGUAAUAAUAUAAAUGAUUGUUAUAUUUGUAAUGCAAUUAAUUAAGAUUAUUAGACCUGUAAUUAGACUUAUCAUAUAAGAUUGUGUAGUGUUCUAAUAUUAUUUGAGUUUUAAUAUAAGAUUAUUUUAUUGCAAAUUAGACUUAGUAUGACAUUAUUGACUACGGAAUUGGUGCGACUCCUAGCAAUUGACUAUUGUAGUCUUAAUUAGACUUAGCAUAUACGCACGAAACACUUAGCAUACAUUACUAUUUUAGUCUUAGCAUGUAAUAUUAUUUGAGUUUUAAUAUAAUAUUACUUUAUUUGUAAUUAGACUUGGUAUGUAAUUAUUGACUACGGAAUUGGUGCGACAAGUAGCAAUUGACUAUUGUAGUCUUAAUUAGACUUAGCAUAUACGCACGAAACACUUAGCAUAUACAUGACUAUUUUAGUCUUAGCAUGUAAUAUUAUUUGAGUUUUAAUAUAAGAUUAUUUUAUUUGUAAUUAGAUUUAGUAUAUAAUUAUUUACUAGCUAGGGUUGUAUAAUAUACGUCACCUAGACUUAGCUUAUAUCACGAUUUGUAAUUAGACUUAGCACGUAAGGUUGUGUAGGGUUCUAAUGUACGACAUUUACACUUAGCAUACAUGACUUAGAUUGUUAAAACAUAAAUGUCUCGUGACUUAGCAGAUGUUUCUUGUAUCAACAGAUGGCUGACCGCGAUGAGGAACAGAUAUUGUACGAUACAAUCGCGGAGGGAAGCAGCCAGUACUGGAAUGAAGAAGAGGGGAACGAGGAUCCAAACCAGUACUUGAACGAGGAAGGGAACGUGGAGAGGGAUGCGGAGGGGAACCAGCAGGGGCACGUGGAAAGGGAUGUGGAGGGGAACCAGGAGGAGGAGGCUAGUGGUAGUCAACCCUCCGUUGGACAGAAGAGGGCACGCGGGCAACGAGGUGCAGCGAAGAAGCUUGAGGGUCGGCACAUCAUAACGGAAGUGGAAGAAGAUGGACGUCCUAGUGCCCCGGCCGAAGCCGCCAAGAACUAUGUACGUCACAGCGGUUGGGUUGUGCGGGAUAACGUGCCUGUCAGUACGGUGUACUGGCGAAGAACAAGGGCACGCGGAGAUCAUGAGAGCUUUGUCCCAGAUUCGGAGAAAGAGAUGCUGUGGACCACAAUGCUCGAGACAUUCACCCUUCCUGCGGGUACAGAGGACAAAGUGAAAAGGUGGACUCUGAAGAAAAUGGCAGAACAGUUUCAGAGCUUCAAGGGAGAUCUGUACCAGAAGUAUAUACUGAAGGGGCAGACACCGAACUUCGACACAUUCCCAAAGCUAAGGGAUCACUGGGACGAGUUCGUUGCAUAUAAGACAGGUGAACAAGGGCAGGCGAUGAUGGAAAGAAACAAAGAAAAUGCCGCCAAGAAGAAGUACCAUCACCACUUGGGGUCAGGAGGCUAGAGCGUCGCGAUGCCGAAGUGGGAGCAGAUGGAGGCUAGCUUGAUUGAGAGGGGUAUCGAACCGGCAACAGCCAAUUGGCCGGAACGAUCGAAGUUCUGGUACUAUGCUCACGGUGGAACGCUCAACCCAGCUGAUGGCUCACUGGUCUUCGGCUAUCAGAUACAAGAGGCUGCGCGACGACUAACAGAUGCAGUGGAAGCCUCCUCUCAGGGCACGUUCCGACCAGACAGAGAUAGGGACGAGCUGACACUCGCCCUGCAGACUCCAGAGCAUCCAGGACGAACUCGAGGGAAAGGGGUGAUUCCUUGGAAGAUUGGUUUCAAGGAGGACAUCCACACGUACAGGAGUCGGAUGAGGAGCAAGAGAGAUACCGAGGCGAAGAUUGCAGACCUAGAGUUCCGGGUAUCGAGCUACGAACUCAACAUGCAAGAGGAGGUGGCAAGGAAGGUUGAUGAACGCAUGGCCGCACAUCGGUCCCAUGAUCCCCAGCCGACCAUUCCUCCUGCAAUGGUGAGCCCGUCAGGAAACCGUAGCAGCUGCGCCUCAACGGGGCAGGUAGGAUCACAGAGCAUGGACGCCAUGCAAACACAGGACGAAUCGACCUGUCCCGUUGAUGACUUCACUCAGCGGACACCAUGUGAGCUGCAUAUUCCUUUCAAGAACUUAUCAAUAAAGGUAAGAUUUAGCCAUUCCGCUAGUUGCUGCUUAUAUAUGUUGAUUACUAAUAAAUAAUCUCUCACAACAUGAAGGUGGCGUCGGGCAUGGCCAUCCCAACGGACCCUUCAGGUACUUACCACUGCAGGCCGAUUCUAGCAGGAUACUCCAAGGUCGAAGUUGAGUUGGUCGAAGGCGCGUACGAGGACCUCGAGCUGGAUUACCCUGGAGGAGACGGUGAGACGCAUCUACGAGACACAUGCCAUGCCAUUAUUCUAUGGCGCAGGCGGUACAUCAUCCUCCCUGGGCGACAAGCGGCGUCUCGUGCACCAUCUCCUCCGGCUCCGCCAUCUCCUCCUCAGGAUCCUGCACCGUCUCCUCCUCAUGCUCCGCCAGCACCGUCUCCACCGCAGGCUCCAGCAUCGACUCCUCCUCAGGAUCCUGCACCGACUCCUCCUCGUGCUCCUACACCUACUCCCCCGCAAGCUCCUCUUCCGGCACCUUCAAAGUCAAGGGCCCCCCCAGCUCCACCGCUUGCCCACACAAGGGCAACAAAGAAGGCGAAAGUUGACGCCGCCAAGAACAAGGACCCAGGGUACGAUUGCACGCAAGAGGAGCUUGACGCUUACGUUGCAUCAGAAGUCAAGAGACAAUUCAAGCCUCGAAGUCCAGAAAAGAAGAUUCCUAUAGACCCCAGUGUCAGGAACUUCUUCAGGGGUAUGUCUGCAUCUGUCAAGGAGGCCAUCAAGCUAUCAGACUAUGAGCGAACGCUGAAGAAAGCAUCUUCUGGAAAGUCCAAACCAGUCCCUCAGCUUGGAGAGCAACCAAACCAGGAGAUCGAGCCGUUGGUGACCGGUAAAGAAAUGACGAUAGAACAAUUUAUUACUGACACCGGUCUAACUACGGAUCAAUUGCUAGGAGUCGCACCAAUCGAAAAGGCGGAAGUGAAAUACAUGUACGAACUCGGUAAACCGCUUGUCAAGCCUGAGCUGCUGCAGUCCCUACCCACACAAAUGUACAAGUUCCAUCAGCUGUACAUGGAGAUGAGCGCCACCGGUAGAGAGAUGAUCGGAGCGAGGAUCAGGGACACGGACUUCUUGCAAGGAGAUGACAUUCUCUGGAUCAAUUUCAGGGGAAUCUACGAACUAUACCAGCUGGACGCCCUCGACGUCUCUAUUAUGAAUUGCUGGAUUUUGUAAGUAUAUCGUUCAGUUAGAUUUCUUACUAUACGUCUCCUUUAAUUAAUUAGGUCCUUGUAUAUAAGUAGACCAUAGAAAAUAAUAUACUCCCUUUUAUCGUUGUAGAAUGGAGAUUCAAAGGGCCCGACGGCGGAGGGUUUUCGAUACUGGAUUCAUCGACCCUCGGAAAGUAAACGUCGCAAUGCUCGACCAAUAUCCACAAGAAACAGAGGACAAUCUCGUCCAUCUCCUGAAGGCGCAGCAUUACAAGACGUUCAUACUGUUGCCAUACAACACAGAGUUAGUUUAAUUUUACUGUCUUCCUACAUACCAAAUUUCAUUCCUGUACGAACUUGCUAAGUGUUUCAUAUGUAAUGCAUCCCACGCACAUUGCAGAUUCCACUGGGUGCUUUUACUCAUCGACCUGGAGGCCUGCACCGUCAACGUAUAUGACUCAAUGGAUAAAAAAGAGUCUACGUUUGACAAGGUUUUCGAACUUAUAGACAGGUACCGUCAUAAGUUCCUUUGUUAAUUAAGAAAAUCUUGUUAUGUUAAUUGCUACUACGAAUCAUAGCUUUAAACUCCAUGUAGGGCUUGGUAUCGGUUCCGUCAUUUGGUCCGCGGCAAAUGGAGAGAAAGACUUAGGCGGAAGUUCAAAUUUCCUAUGAGUACACAUGCUCUACAUUUAUAUUUCUCCGAUUCAAAUACAUACAAGUGUAUAUUAAUUAGAUCUCUCGUUGUUUGUCAUUUAUUUGUAGUGCGCAAAGCAAAAGCAGGGAACUAACUUGUGCGGCUAUUACGUGUGCGAGUAUUGCCACUGCCUUGCAAACCAAAUCAUCACCACAAGAGAGCUCGAUGUACGUACAAAUAAAUUCAAAAUUUCAUUACGUAGCGAUUUCUUGUUUAAUUACUAAUCAAUUUCAUACAUUCAUAUAGUUUAUUCGCAUGAGGGAUAACCUGACCACACACAAGGAAUUUAUCGCGGCGGUUCAAGAACAACUCAUGGGAUUCAUCAACGAAGAAAUCCUUGAUCCCAAGGGUGAAUUCUACUACGACGGAAACACAAUUCACCGGUCCUUAGCUUCUGAGCUAGCAGCGAGUACUACUACGUCGAAAUCGUAGCUAGCUAGGACAUAUAAUGGAUUGUAAUUAAUACAUGACUACAUAUGUUUCUAUAUGCAUGUGUACACAUUUUCUAUAAUGUAAAUAUAUUUUGUUCAUAUAUAUAUCUAUAUACAUAUGCAUUUGCAUAACAUAUAUAUGUAUAAAUACAUAUAUAUUAUGCAUGUAUAUACAUAUAAUAUAAUAUAAUAUAAUAUAUAUAUAUAUAUACAUAUAUAUAUGUAUGCAUAUAUAUGUAUUGAAACAUAUAUAUGCAUGGUUUAUAUAUAUAUAUAUAUAUAUAUAUAUAUAUAAACCAUGCAGCAACAGGGGCAUGCAAAAAAAAAAAAAAGGUCAGCUCGAUCUUUAGUCCCGGUUGGUGUUACCAACCGGGACUAAAGAUCGAUCUUUACUCCCGGUUUGGAAACCGGGACUAAAGGGGGGUUACGAACCGGGACUACAAAGGGUUUCUCCACCAGUGGUAUAUCGCAAUUGGAAAUUCUAGCAAUUGACAACUACUUGUGGGUAACCCCAAAGAGAGGUAACUUAUAACAAUUGAAAAUUAUGAAAGACCAUACAUACUACUUGCAGUAUUUUUCUGAAGUUUAACCAUGCUCAGAACAAUGAUUCAAAUAUACAGGGUGUACUUUGAGAACUUGUGCAGGCUAACAAAUUGCCUUUCGUUAUGCCACAAUUUACUAGAUUGACUAUCUCCCAACAUGUUGAGUGAUCAUUCAGGCCUAGUUUUGUCGCUAAUGACAAUAGAGGCAUUCAAAUAAUCUAGUGAUGAACAAAAAACAGUUGCACGAAAACAAUGACAUGAGAAAGAAACUAUAGCUUAGGCCCAACAUUAUUACUCACUCAAAAGAGCUUCAAGAUGAGCUAGUGCAGGCCUGUAUGAGUAAAAUUAAAGUAAGGAAAUCUAAAAAGUAAACCUCCAGUCACCUCUUUAACUCACCUAAUAUAAAAAAAAUAAAUCAGAAGCAGAAGCUACUCUAUUGGCACUUGGAAAAUCAUAUGCCUAGGUACAUAUAAUACCAUUCAGCUGAAUUAGUCCAUUCAUAUGGCCUUACAUUAAUCAGGCAACUCUGUUUGAUGGUUCCCUGCUCUGAAGAAGCAUGCAUCAAACUAUGCUAAACAAGUAUGUGGAAAUUAGAUUUUAGUUGUAGUUUUUACAUUUUGGUUGCAGUCCUAGGAAGGCAUGGAGCCAAGUAUAUUCUGGGUAGAAAUGGGAAUCAGUUGGAACUGAAGAGAGAGUACUAGGAUUUUAUUCGUUGCUGCUCUUUGUUAGUACACUGGUAGUACUUGUGAUAGACUAAUAUUACUGUGCAUUAGAAGAUUCAGAUAAGCUAGCUAGUGCAGCUUCUCUGAAUCUCUGAUACACAAAGUAGCUACUGAUACAAUGCACUCUGUCCCUACUCUUCUUAUGUAACCACCACCCCCAUGCAGGAGAUGGCUAGCCAAACACUACUCCUGCCUCCCUCUCCUCCUACUGCCCCAAUGAAUGAAUUUUUUUUGAAAAUAAUACGAUUUUAAUGGAAAAUCACAAAAAUAUAAGUCGGUUAGACGAAAUCGUAAGAAUAGCACCCUGUCAAACAACCGGGGUUCGACAGGGUACUGCGGCAGUUCGAUAGGUGAUAAAAAAAACUUCAAAAAAUCGGAAAAACACUGUAGCUUGAAAGUUCGAUAUGUCCUGAAGCGGUACUGUUCACGCGACCCUAUCGAACUUUGUUAGUUCGACAUGUUCCUGCCGAUUCCUGUAGCAGUACUAUUUUAUUUAUUUUUUUUUGGACCAACUACCCUGUCGAACUACCACACCCCCGUCGAAUCAGGGUUGUUCGAUAGAGUGCUGAACAUGCGUUUUCGCCUAAUCGACCCAUAUUUUUACAAUUUUCCAUUAAAAUCGUAUUAUUUUUUAAAAGAAUUCCCAAUGGAACAUACGAAAAAGUACUCAGAGACCCAAUCACACCAACCAGCAGAGACCCCAAAGUUGCAUCCAAGAACACACACAAGAAAAACCAAAAAGAACUGCACCAAGAACUGCAGGUCAAGCUUCCCUAUCCUCUAAUCCAUUUUGCAGCCACUACGUACGUACCUCCAUGCAUGUCACUUCCGCUCGCUGUACUGUAUAUAUUCACUGUCAGGGGUUCGAUGCCGGCCGCCGCCACAGGCAAGCCAGGUGUGGGUUAAAUGGCGUCAAGAAGCACUAACACUAGGACAUGGGAGAAGAGAGGGGGAGGAAGUACGUACUCCUACUUACCGGCGGCUGCCGCAAUAGCUAGCACCCCUGG
RNAcentral lists this long non-coding RNA (77900 nucleotides) under Oryza sativa (Asian cultivated rice). RNAcentral's name for it is "long non-coding RNA (OSAT_LNC000944)". The stretch from base 55767 to 55970 matches the Rfam family "MIR812 microRNA precursor family". The record is from RNAcentral. Lineage: Eukaryota; Viridiplantae; Streptophyta; Magnoliopsida; Poales; Poaceae.